RNAcentral lists this long non-coding RNA (59447 nucleotides) under Prunus persica (peach). Its description in RNAcentral is "long non-coding RNA (PPER_LNC001876)". Lineage: Eukaryota; Viridiplantae; Streptophyta; Magnoliopsida; Rosales; Rosaceae. The record is from RNAcentral.
UGCAAUUCAUCUUCUUCGUCCUCUUCCCUUUCCUCGCAUUCUCAUCCUUCGCAGAAGAAUCAAAUCCCUCCCAUUUCCAAAACAUGGCCACUCUCGGCGGAGUCCACGAAUCCCAUGCCUCCGAGAACAGCCUCGAAACCGAAGACCUCGCUCGCUUCGCCGUUCAAGAUCACAACAAGAAGGAGGUUUUUACUCUUUUUUGCCUUUUAAUUUCUUCAAUAUUAUGCACUUGAAAUUACUUCCCGCUCAAUCAGUCAGUGACUUUUGAUACAUUUCUCGUACACCAACACGAACACCAACUGAAUGGGAAGAAAGCACUUGAAAUUAUGGCCACAUGAAAUUAUAAAGUCCACCAACAUUUAUGAUUAAUAUAAUUCUAUCUUUAUCAUGAUCAGAGCCCAAGAUUGAGUUAAACCUUGUAGUCAGUCACGUGUGUGGUGUGGAACGGAUAAUUGUGGUUUAAACAGUCCCCAUUACGAUGCAUGUGAACGGGAUCUUCUCAAUGUUGAUAUGCCUAUGAUCAUCCAAUUAAUGGGGGGCUUGUGAAAAACGAAAUGCAAGUUGGUUCGCAAUUCUCUGUUUUUUUUUUUUUUUGUUUCGUGAUUUUUUUAGUCAAUCGGUUGUAGUUGCUGGUUUCGGAAUGUGGCAUGCGCUUAAUAAUGCUGGCAAUUGCUUGGAAACCCUAAAAUUGGGCCAAUCUAUGUUGCCCGUCGGUACGAAGAAGAAGAUUCAUGAAAUAGGCCCAAUGAGAAGAAGUGGAAGUCCUUAGCAGGCAGGCUGUGCAUAUAUAUCAGCCAGCGAAGAAAAUCUUAAAAUUACAUCAUGCUAAGCAUACUAUAUUUGCAUACCACCUUUUUAAUAGAUGUGAUACACAACGUGAUAUAUAAAUUGAUAUAGCUAGUAUUUUUGUUUGUAUACUUAUGAGGAAGAUGGAUCUUAAAAGUAAAUAAUUCAUUUUUGCUGUCUCAAACCCUACCGCGUUGUUUGGUAAGCAUAAACGACGACCCUCCACAAAGAAAAGCCAUGGUCCUAGAUUCUUGAUUGAGUUGUUUCUAAAGAUAUAAAAACAGCAAUGAGCUAAUGCUUGUCAAUGUCCAAAAAAGAAAAACUGAAAAAAGAGAAGGAAACGAUCAAUGCUUAUUAUAUAGAUGAUGUGAUGUCUCUUUUUAUAUAGAUGAUGUGAUCGUUUUAAGGACAGAAAAUGAAGUGUCAAAGAAACCGUGUAGGGUCAUCCGCGUUACAAAAGCAUUUGGGUUCUUGUUGUUUUUUUUUUUUGUAACCAAAAUAUCGGGGCGUAAUGAUCUCAUUCGAAGACUCCAAGUCAAUGAAAUAUUGAGUCACAUAAUAUCUCAAGUUCUCAACAGCCCUUCAAAACUUGCUGCAAAACUGAACCAGAAGAUCCAUAAUCCUUCGCAAAGAAUCGAAACAUGACUGGAGCUUUGGUUGGAGGGGCUUUUCUCUCAGCUUCCUUGCAGGUGCUGUGCAACAAGAUUGGUUCCGGCAAAUUCAAGGACUUACUCAAAAGUAGUUAGGGUUUAAAUUAAUAUAUAUGUUUAUUCUUCUCUCAAGGAGGGAUAUAUAUAUAUAAAGACUUUCUCUAUUGCGAAGUGCAAGUGUGCGGAGUGGAUGAGGACUUCUAUUUGUGACCAUUAGAUUCCUUGUACGCUAUGAAUUUAAAACAUCAUUGAGAACUUCUAUUUCUAUAAGAGCUUUUCAGUCUUUUGGUAAGAGCCACAAUUUCCCGCGCUUACAUAUCCAAUCUACUAACCUCUGUUUCUUUCUUCCACCAGAACACCUUCUCUUCCCUGUGCUUUCAUCCCUAGCAAUAUCACAGCUGCUCCUCUGGGUUAUAAUAUUUUUAUUUCUUGUUUUCAAGACAUUCUCGUCCAUGUGCUCUCAUCCCUGGCAAUAUCAUAGCUGCUCCUCCAGGUUAGAAUAUUUUUAUUUCUUCUUCUUUUCUUUUUUGCUUUAUGAUAUAUGGGUAUUUUCCAUUUUGCUUAUACAAAGUUUUUUUAUUUUCUUAUGGUAUGGGAUUGUUUACUAAGAAGAUUUGGGUUUCGUUGGAAAUCACGAAGGUUGGAAUCGGAAAAACAGAAAGCACUGAUGUAUGGGUUUUAUGGAUUUGGCUACUAAUUGGUCUUUGUUUUUGUAUGGUUUUGGCUAAGUUAUUCUAUUUCGUUUUCUGGUUGAAAGUUUAUCUAAUUCAGGUUUGAUAUGCACUUACGAGUUUGGCUUUUGGUUUAAGCAUUGCUACAGUAUUCUUUGCUAUUGUUUACCAAUGUUCAUUGACCAAUAUUUUUGUUAUUUUUUGCUUUAAUAGAUGAAACUUUAGAGAUGGGAAUGAAUUUAUGGAAGAUACUAAUGAAAAUAAUUCAGAUUUAUUUUUCAAUCCUCAAGCAGAAGAUCAGCAUGUACCAAAAAUUGGUCAAGAGUUUGAAUCACUUUGAAUCAUUAUUGUUCAAGCUAUAAUUUUGUAUGAAGCUGAACGUCAAUUAUUGUUGUAGCUUCAAUUCCUUUGUCUUGUAAUGGAGUCUUGGGACCAUCUAUUUCAAUCAUUUAUCUCUUUAUAUCUUUUUCAAACUUUUGAAGAUAUCCUAUACACAAACUUUGCAAAUCAUCCGAAGAAGGCAUGACUCUUCGAAUCAUAUCAGGAAAUCAUAGUUAGCUUCAAUAUCCCCAUCUGCAAAUUAAAUAUAGUUAGUAAUUGUAAACAUCAGGUAAAUACAUAGUAUAAUUAAACAACAGAUAGCCAAGGUCAUAUAAAAAAAUCCCACCCAGCAGUACAACACCUCACCAAACUCAAAACAAAACAAAAGUGAGCCAAGUUCAUAUGAAGACUAAGUAAAACCCAAACCCAAAUCAACGAGGAUAUCCCUAUAAAAAGAAAUAGAAAAUCAAUGUAGAGAAGAAGGGAAAUGACGUAUUGCAUAUACAGAAUCACAAAUUGCAAUUGUGGUGGAAGAAAGAAACAGAGGUUAGUAGAUUGGAGGUGUAAGCGCGGGAAAUUUUGGCUCUUACCAAAAGACUGAAAAGCUCUAGAAAUAGAAGUUCUCAAUGAUGCUUUAAAUCUACAGCGUACAAGGAAUCUAAUGGUCACAAAUAGAAGUUCGCAUCCACUCCGCACACUUGCACUUCGCAAUAGAGAAAGUCCCUAUAUAUAUAUAUACUACAUACAUAGUGGGUACAAAUAGGAACGUUGACUUUGACUCAUGCCAACACUCCCUCUCAAGUUGGUGCAUAGAUAUCGGUAAUGCCCAACUUGUCAAGUGAGUCUUCAAAUCAGUGCUUUUGACACAGCAUGGGUCAACAUAUCUGUAAGCUGCUCCGAAGAAGGCACAAAAGGUAUAGAAAUUAACUUAUGCUCCAGCUUCUCCUUAAUGAAAUGUCGAUCAACUUCUACAUGGUUAGUUCGAUCAUGUUGCACCUGAUUGUUAGCAAUUUCAAAUGCAGACUAUCACAGUAGAGCUUUAUAGCAGCAUCUGGUCUAAACCCAAUUUUAGCAAGUAACCACCUUAACCACAAUAUUUCACAAACCCCUUGGGCAAUUCCUCUGUACUCAGACUCUAUAGAGGAACAAGACACAACAUGUUGCUUCUUGCUAUGCCACAUAACUAGGUUACCGCCAACAAAGGUGAAGUGACCUGAUUUAGAACGUCUAUCUAUAAUAUUCCCUGGAUAAUCUAUGUCAGUGUAACCUUCUAGAUCCAAGUGGCCAUUUUUCUUAAAUAUUAAACCUCUCCCAGGAGCAAACUUUAAGUAACUCAAAAUACGCAUCACAACAGCCAUAUGAUCUUCACUAAGGUGAAUGCAUAAAUUGGCUAGCAACGCUUACAAUAUAGGCAAUAUCAGGGCAUGUCAGUGAUAAAUAGAUCAAUCUCUCAACUAACCUUUGGUAUCUUUCUUUGUUAGUUGGGAUCUGAUCCACAUAAACCCCAAGUUUACGAUUCUCAACAACUGGUUUACAGUCAAGCAUUCCAGUAUUUGCUAGCAGGUCCAUGACAUACUUCCUUUAUGAAAGAAAUAAGCCAUGUUUAGAUCAAGUGAGUUCCACUCCUAGAAAAUAUUUCAGACUGCUCAAAUCUUUCAUCUCAUAUUUUUCUUUUAUGUUGUUAGAUUCCCUCUUUAUUAUUCCAUGUCUAUUUUCUUGUACAUACUUCUUGUUGGCAAUUAAUAUUCAGAAGUUACAAGAGUUGGGGGUUAACUAGAGAAAUUAAUUUGUUGGGUUAGUUAUCCAAAUUGUCCUCAAAUUUAUACCCGAGUUUCAUUUUGGUCUCUCAACUAAAUUAUUCAUUUAAAUGAUCCACCGACUCUUUAUUAAUCGGUGCAUUGGUCCUACAAUUACAUUUUCUGUUAAAUUAGUCUUAUAAGCAACACAUGCUACAUUUGUAAGGGUAAAUAAAACUUUUGAAAACUAAAAAAAUAAAAUUAUAUGAUUAAAAAUUAAUACAAUAUUUUCUUUAUUUUUAAAAAUAAUUUAAAACUAUAAACGAAUAAAAAACAACAAAAAGUAAUGUAAGAUCCCACAUCAACCAACGGAGAGGGGGUGAUGUGCCUUAUAUGUGCGCACCCGCAUCCAUCUAGCACGAGGCCUUUUGGGAGCUCACUGGCUUCGGAGUCGUAGGAACUCCGAAGUUAAGCGAGUUGGGGGCUAGAGCAAUCCCAGGAUGGGUGACCCACUGGGAAGUUGCUCGUGACCUCCCAGAAACAAAACCGUGAGGGCAGAGAGGGGGGCCCAAAGCGGACAAUAUCGUGCUACGGCAGAGCCGAUCCCGGGAUGUGACAAGUAACCCUAAAAAAAAAUCAGCCCACCCAACCCCCAUCUCAUCGUGGGUCUGCAACAGCCUCUCUCUCUCUCACUCUCUUCUCAAACAAACCCAGAGCCUUGCAGCCCCAAUAUUAAACAUUUGAAGGGAGAAAUAGAGGGAGAUAUAGGGAAGAGGUGGAGGGGACAAGGAGGGAGGAGAAGAUGGGGCGCUAGGGUGCUGGGGCAAUGGUUAUCGGGCUAGAGGUUGGGAGGUGGGAGAGGGCGAUAGUUUUUUUUUUACUUUUGGUUUUUUUUACUUUUGGUUUUUAGUUUUUAAUUUAUUUACUAUUUUAUUUUACUGGAUUAUUUGACGGCAAUAUUGACAAAAUGUAAUAGUAGGACCAAUGCAUCGAUUAAUAAAGUGUUGGUGGACAAUUUGAACAAAUAAUUUAGUUGAGGGACCAAAAUGCAAUUCGGGUAUAAAUCUAAGGACCAUUUGAGUAAAUAACAUAUUCUAAGUUCAAUCUAACGAACUAAUUCUUAAUUUCUUCAUACUUGAACUUAGGAGUAGCUAGUUGAGCUCAGAUAUGCAUGAAAAUGAAAGCACCUUGAAAGGUCGUUGUUUGCAAUUGGACCUACAGUUCCAUUUCACUAGAAUUUUGCCUUUUGUUGUAUCCUUUCCCUGAACUCCAGACUCUCUGCGUAUCAUUCCCAAUGAGAACUACCCCGACUUGACCCAAUUUGGCUUCGUGUAUUUUAAAAUUUCAAGCUAACUGCAGCUUCUAAUGGAAGCCCUUCUUUUACCUGUUAAUUCUUAGCAAAUAACUAACGUCCAGAAGUCGAGUCAUUUAUAGCAGGGGAUAGAUCAUAGCUUUGGUGUUGGCCCUUUAAGCAAACAGUAUUCUGAAGGGUAUUGAUGGGGAUUGGGGUCAGGACACAGGUCACCAACCACAUACACGAGUACCAAAAUCUAGGGUUAGUGCAAACUCACAUAUAUCGUAGCAAAUUCAUGUCACAAAUAAACUAUUUUAUUAAUCAUCAACAUAUGCUCCCUAACAACUAUUACAUUAGCCUUAUUUAUAGGCUUUACAAGACUUGGGCACCAAGGCUACUUGGUCCAAAAGUAAACUAAUUAAUUAUAAAAUCACACAUAAAUAAUAAAAGAUACCAUAAAACUACCUAAAUAAGAAAAUGACAAUAUAUCAUGAAAUAACUAAUUAAAUGGUAAAUAUCUAUCUUGAUCCACCCCUAUGCUCCUGCAUCAGACUCCCAUGGUUGGAAAGAAUUCGUCCUCGAAUUCAAGCCUUUGAUUGAGGAAAAUCCAAAUAGAAUCUUCAAUUGCUUCAUAUUAAUUCUGGAUGUUUUAGCAUCCAAUUGAAACCUUCCUUUCCAAAUAAAAAGUUAUUUGGAAUAUUUCGUUAUUCUUGGCUUCUUACUCCCUCUAGCAAUGCAAAUGUUUCUCUCUAGAAUCUUCAACCAAUUGACAAAAUCAACCAGAUUUUUGGCAACCUUCCAAGUGAAAAUAUUAAUGCUCAUAAAAUCAAUAAUAUCUUCUAAAGUUUUUCCAAUUCUCAUCUAUUCACUGUUCUUGCCAAUAAAUUGCUUAUCAAAAUUUCUUUGAACACCCAGACAAUUUUCAUUGCAAUUUUCACAGUUGCACGGAUCAAAUAUUGGAGGUAAAUUCAAAUUUAAUGAUUUUGAUGAAUAACAAGAUGCACCAAAAUUACCAAAUUUAUUUAUACCUUCAAAGACACAAUGAGAAUAACCGUGCUCCUCUUCACUUGACUCACACAGCGGAGUGCAAUAAUGAAGAGGGAUAUCUCCCUUGUACUCCCCGUCUAGACUCCUACGGCUUAGAGUGUCGAUGCAAGCUACUCGGUUCAGAUAAGGGUUCACACAUCCCUCCCCGUCAGAACUCUUACCUAUAUGGGUUCGAGAUUCAAUGCGAGCUAUGCGUUCUGUAAGUUGCCUUAGCAUCCUCCUAAUUUCCUCCAUGUUGUUGUCGUUGUAGUUGUUAACAAGACCCUCCAUCCAAAAACCUCCCCGAUAAAGCAGAUCUUGAGCCAUAGCUAUGAUACCAAUUGAUGGGGAUCGGGGUCUGGACAUAGGUCACAACCACAUACACGAGCACCGAAAUCUAAAGCUAGUGCAAACUCACAUAUAUCGUAGCAAAUCCAUGCGACAAAUAAACUAUUUUAGUAAUCAUCAACAUAUAUUCCCUAACAACUAUUACAUUAGCUUUAUUUAUAGGCUUUACAAGACUUGGGCACCAAGGCUACUUGGUCCAAAAGUAAACUAAUUAAUUAUAAAAUCACACAUAAAUAAUAAAAAAUAUCCUAAAACUACCUAAAUAAGAAAAUAAAAAUAUAUCAUGAAAUAACUAAUUAAAUGGUAAAUAUCUAUCUUGAUCCACCCCUAUGCUUCUGCAUCAGAUAUAAUGCACAGCAGCACAGAUACACAAAAUUGCAAGACCCCAUUAUCCAUCAAAUCUUUCCAAUUAACUAAUUUUGGUUCUCCUUUGAGUCUACAUGUCUCUGUCUUCCAAAAAAUUAAUGAAAGUAUAUGUAUUCAAAACAUGAGAAGGAAAAAAUAAAAAAUAAAAAAAAUAAAAAGGGCACUUCUCUGUUGGUUCAUUUUCUUCUUCUUUUUAUGCGUGAUGCGGUAAAUUCAAUGUCUUACUUAUUUUACAAAGAGAUUUGAUAAAUAAAUAUAAAAAAUAAAGAAAUAAAGAAAAUUAAGCCAAAAAUAAUAAAAGGAAAAAGAAAUCAGCACCAAUGACAUUUCACAUAUGUUCAAUCAAAUUGUGCACAUUUUGCAUUAGUAGAUUUCAAUAUAAAAAAAAUAAAAAAAAAUAAAAAAAUAAAAAGAGGCGAGAAUGGGUUGGCAGCUACCACGAUUUCAUUGGAUUGGGAUGAUGGGGAUGGCUAACGCUGAAUCGCGUGGGAGGGAAGUUUUUCUCCCGCUUGUGGAGAGAGACAAAAGUGUCAAAACCAUGUGGGGUCCCCACAUUACAACAGCAUUUGCUGAUUGUCUCAUUGGAAAAGUCUAAGUCAACAAAUGAGUUUUUAUUAUUAUUAUUUAUUUUAUAGUAAGAGCUUUCAAAACUUAUGUAUUGAUGGACACAUAUAUAUUGAAUAUUUGUAUGUUGCAUUAUUAGAUGGAAAUUGUGUCAUCACAAAUGACCUUCCGUUGUUUGUUUCUGUUAUUCUUGGAAUUGGUUAGACUCUUGUUAAACAAUAAUUUGAUUUUAAUAUAAAAAAUGAGAGAAGGAAAAUAUGUAUCAAUGCUUGCUUAGCAUAAUCCCAACAAAAAACCCGCAUCAAAUAAUACAUUGUUGGACGGUAGCUUUAUGUCGAGUCUGUGGACCUCAUCCUCAUGUCAAGUCUCCCAAGUCAAAUCAAAUUGAGAAUUACCAAAUCUUAACACCCUUCAAAACUUGUUCCAAAACUGAACAAGAAUUUCCAAAACCCACAUACUUAGUCCAAAUCCUUUGCAAAGAAUCGAAACAUGGCUGGAGCUUUGGUUGGAGAGGCUUUUCUGUAUGCUUCCGUGCAGGUGCUGUGCAACAAGAUUGGUUCUCAUGAGUUCAGGGACUUGUUCCGGGAAAAGAAACUGGACGAGUCGCUUGUAAAGAAACUGAAGAUAACACUAUUGAGCCUCAAUGCAGUGCUUAAUGACGCGGAGGAGAAGCAGUUCACGAACACUUACGUCAAAGAGUGGCUUGAUGAGCUUCAAGAUGCUGUCUUUGAUGCGGAUGACCUUCUGGAUGAGGUCAAUGCUGAAGUUCUGCGAUGCAAGGUGGAAGCUGAAUAUCGAACUGUCAAAACUCAGGUGUGGAACUUCCUCUCUACUUCUCUUAAUCCUUUUUAUCAAGGCAUGAAUGGUAGGAUUCAAGAGUUGUUUGAUAGAUUAGAACACCUCGCAAAACAAAAGGAUUUCCUUGGGCUGAGAGAAGGUGUUGUUGGGGGGAAGGUUUCUCAAAGAACUCCAACAACUUCCUUGGUGGAUGAAUCUUGUGUGUAUGGUAGGGAUGGAGAUAAAGAAAAGCUGAUGAAACUGUUGUUAUCUGAUGAUGCAAGCGACAAGGAUGUCUCCGUCAUCACCAUAGUGGGAAUGGGCGGGGUUGGCAAGACAACCCUCGCUCAGCUCCUUUAUAAUGAUGAAAAAGUGAAAGAGCAUUUUAAUCUUAGAACCUGGGCUUAUGUUUCGGAAGCUUUUGAUGUUACUAGGGUAACUAAGUCCCUACUUGAGUCAGUCAGUUCAAAAGCUUACGAUAAUAAAGACCUGAGUUUUCUUCAAGUUGAGCUAGGACAACAAAUAAAGGGCAAGAAAUUUCUGUUUGUGUUGGAUGACCUUUGGAAUGAGAACUAUGGUGAUUUGAGUCUCUUGCAACGUCCUUUUGCAUCCGGGGCAAAGGGAAGUUGGGUCAUCGUGACAACACGUAACGAAAGUGUUGCAUCUCUCGUGCGCACCAUUCCGAUUCACUUUUUGAAACCCUUGUCUGAUGAGGAUUGCUGGUUGUUACUUUCAAAACACGCCUUCGAAAAUGGAAACUCAAGUGCACAUCUAGAUCUGGAAGAAGUUGGUAAGAAAAUUGCUUCUGAGUGCAAUGGUUUACCUUUAGCAGCAGAAACCCUUGGAGGCCUCUUGCGUUUCAACACAAAUUAUGAGCAAUGGAAUAGCAUACUAAAUAGCAAUAUUUGGGAGCUGCCUCCUGAAAAAUGUAAUACAAUUCCAGCUCUAAGAUUGAGUUACCAUUAUCUCCCAACUGAUUUAAAACGAUGUUUUGCUUAUUGCUCAAUUUUUCCGAAGGGCUUUGAAUUCCGAAAGGAAGAUAUUGUUCUACUGUGGGUGGCAGAAAGUUUAAUUCCACAAGCUGAGAGUGAGAAAAGUAUGGAAGAGCUCACUAAGAAAUACUUUGAUGACUUAUUGUCACGAUCAUUUUUUCAAAGAUCAACAAAUGAGAAGUUCACAAUGCAUGAUCUCAUCAAUGACUUGGCCAUGUCUGUGUCAAAGGAAUCCUGUUUGAGAUGGAAAGGGGGCGAAUCACAUGAAGUUUUGAAAAAAGUUCGGCAUUUGUCAUAUGCUAUAGGCCAAUUUGAUUGUGCUGCGAAAUUUGAGCCAUUAUAUGAGGUUAAGCAUUUGCGAACCUUCCUACCUCUAAGAAGCAAAGAAUGGUGGUUUGAGCAUCAUGUAAUAAGUAAAAGGGUUUUACCUGAGUUAUUGCCAAAUUUAACAUGUUUACGGGUGCUAACAUUGUCAGAAUAUGAUAAUAUUGUUGAGUUACCCAAUUCUAUUGGUAACCUCGUUCAUUUGCGCUACUUGGAUCUCUCUAAUACCGGAAUCAAAAGGUUACCUUCUAUAGUUUGCACUCUUUAUAGUCUACAAACAUUACUAUUGGCAAGUUGUCGGUCUCUUUUUGAAUUGCCUGCAGACAUGAGAAAAUUGAUUAACUUGAGGCAUCUUGAUUGUAGUGGAACUCAAAUUGAAGAGAUGCCGGUGCAAAUGGGUAGACUAAAAAGUUUGAGAACAUUGACUACUUUUGUUGUGGGGAAAUCUACUGGGUUGACUAUUGGCGAAUUGGGGGAGUUCUCCCAUCUUGGAGGAAAGCUUUCAAUUUUGAAGCUAAAUAAUGUGGUUGAUGGUAGGGAUGCCUUGCAAGCUAAUUUGAAGAACAAACAAGAUCUCAAGGAGUUAGAGUUGGCAUGGGGCUCCAAAGAUGCCGAUCAUUCCGAAAAGGUGAGAGAUGUGCUUGACAACCUCCAACCUUGCAUGAAUUUGGAGAAAUUGGCCAUCAAACUCUAUAGCGGGACCAGCUUCCCAAACUGGUUGGGAGACUCUGCCUUCAAUAAAAUAAAAGUUAUGCGCCUCGAAGGCUGUCAUUAUUGCUUCAAGUUGCCACCGCUUGGACAGCUACCUGCUCUUAAGGAUCUCUUCAUAUGUAAGAUGAAAUUUCUUGGGACGUUAGGUCAUGAGUUGUAUGGUCAGCCAUUUCAGUCAUUUCAAUCACUGGAGAAGCUGGAGUUUGAGGAGAUGGCAGAGUGGGAGGAGUGGGUACCAAGUGGAAGUGGAGGUCCAGACUUUCCUCGUCUCCAGGAGCUGAUUCUAAAAAAGUGUCCAAAGCUAAGAAGAAGCUUGCCUUGUGAUCUGCCUUGCUUGAAGAAGCUUGUCGUGAAAGGGUGUGGGGUUUUACAUGAUCAAAGGGUCACUGCUACUACUAGUACUAGUACUAGUCUCAACUACAAUUGUCUUGAAGAAUUGGAAAUAGAAGAUGGAUGCCAAACAGGUCUGUUAUCAUUACUAGAGACAAAGCUCCUGUCCCGACUUUAUGUUAGACGUUUUAAUGACAUACAGUGCUUGCCCAACAUCAAUCGUCUUCAAAGGUUGGCUCUCUCGACGUGUCCAACCCUGUCGUCGUUCCCUGAAGAUGGCCUACCCACUUCGUUGACUUCACUUAACAUAUACAGUUGUAGGAGAUUAGAAUUCCUACCUCAUGAGAUGUUGGCCCAAUUAACAUCGCUUGUCUCUUUGACGCUCUUGAAUAGCUGUGAUUCAAUGAGGUCCUUCCCCUUGGGCAUUUUUCCCAAAUUGACGACACUUUAUUUUUGGAAUUGUGAGAAUCUGGAGUCGUUUUGCUUGAUUGAAGAAGAAGGAGCGGUUGAGAAUCUCAGCCAUCUCAAUUACUUAAAUAUCGCGGGCUGUCCAAAUCUGGUGUGUUUUCCCCAUGGAGGAUUGCCCACUCCCAACCUGACUUAUUUGGAAUUCAGCAGAUGCGAGAAGUUGAAGUCAUUACCUGAACGCAUUCACACCCUCACAGCCCUAAGAUAUUUGUAUAUAAGGGAUCUUCCAAGUCUGGAGUCAAUUGCAGAUGGGGGUUUGCCUCCCAACCUCCGAUAUUUUAUAAUUGAGAAUUGUGAGAGACUGAGGGCUUCAUCUUCAUCAGUGGGAGACUACUGUAACUGGGGUUUGCAAGCACUUGUCUCCCUUAAACAAUUUAAAAUUUGUGGCAGGGGAAGUGAUGAAAUCUUGGAGACGUUGCUCAAGCAACAGCUGCUCCCUACCACUCUUUGCACUCUCGGCAUCGAGGACCUUUCAACUCUGAAAUCUUUGGAUGGAAAGGGACUUGCACACCUUACUUCUCUUCAACAACUAUUUAUUAAUAGGUGUGACAGUCUGGAAUUCCUGCCAGGAGAGGCACUUCAACACCUCACUUAUCUUCAAGAGCUACAUAUUUCCAAUUGUCCGAGUCUCCAACUCCUGCCAGAAGAGGGUCUGCCACCAUCUCUUUCUUAUCUGAGAAUCUACAAUUGUUCUGCCCUGGAGAAAAGGUUUCAGAAUAAGACGGGAGAAGAUCAUUGGGACAACAUAUCUCACAUUCCAUGCAUCAAGAUAAAUGAUGAAGUCAUCAUAUGAUGAUAUGACUUCUCUCUCUCUCACAUAGAGACAAACAAACUCUGGUCAGGUAUGUACUUCAAAUAACCGCUUUAACUGCUUUUCUUCAAAUAACCGCUUUAACUGCUUUUUUUUUUUCAGUCCCACAAAUCAUUCCUUCAGCUACAAAGUUCUAUUUGAUGAGACUUGAAAUGUUGGAUGUGUACUUGCAGACUUGAGAAACUUUCCCAUGUUUGGAGGUCAAAGCAACUUGUGUAGGCAACCAUGCCGGAGGAGAGUUUACCAUUUUAUAUGGAUUUUUGUUUUUCGACAAACAAAUUGCGGCAAAGAAGGGGAAAGAAUGUUCUCAAGGUGGAGCUCUAGCAAGAGACCAGCAUUUGGACAAUGUGGUAAACGGAUCUCAAUCUAACAUAACAAGCAUCACUAUUCAUGAUUAGGUAAUCUUUCAUCAUAAAAUUCCUUUCCCUACGUAAUAACUUGAAAACGUCAUUUAUGAGUUUCCUUUGAGAUGGAUGAAAAUGUGUACAUAUGUAUGAAUAACUUGUGAGAGCUCAAGUUCUGGGACAGAUGACGUUGAGGAAACUUCAUGCUUGGUCUUGCACAAUACUAUGAUUUUCCUCCGGUAGGGAAUCACACAAGUGUUCCCAAUGCAAUGAAUAUUAAUGCUGCACACUUCAUUAAUGACUUGUUUAUUUAGAAGAAACAUUUUUUUAUUGGAAAAAGAUAGUAAAAUACCGCAGAAGUGAACAAGUACUCGUCCAUCACAGAACAGGAACAGAUCUGAACUUAAGAGAAAUACAACUGUAAGAGCUUUAAGAAAGAAAUUAUCCUUGAGCUGCCUUCCAUCCAUCCCUGAAUUGUGAUUAAACCAAUGCCAAGGUGAAAAAAGAUAGUAAAAUAAACAAGUACUCGUCCAUCACAGAACAGGAACAGAGCUGAUCUUAAGAGAAAUUCUAUAUAUACUAAAACCCAAUGCAACUAAACACUGUAGCUAAGCACAGUAAAAUUAUGAAAAUGCCUCUAUUUAAAACUGUACAGCCAGCUUUUCCUCUCCUUUUGCACAGUAAAAUUGCCAUUUUGCCCUUGACUGAUUGUUCUGUAUUUUUCCCGUUUUGCCCUCUCUUUCCUUGGGAUGUAACUAGCUGUUGUUUAGGGCUGAGAGGUGUCUGAUUGGAUUUCAACUAGCUGGUUGGAGAGCUACAGGGGUAAAAUGGGAGAGCUGUUGGUUCUUUACUGUUUAAAUCUGGAGGGUUCCACUGUUUUACAGAACCACCUUUUUUCCCACCGAAUUGCUUGCCUUCUUCGUUUCCAUUCUUCUCAUCUUCCUCUGCUCUUCCAAAGUGCUCACUUUCCAGCUCCCUUGGGUUCUAUCAAGAAGGGGAUUAAAUCUUACAGAUUCGCUGAGGUAUUUCCAGCGUUGUUAUUCUUAAUUUUUUUACUCAAUUGUCAAUUAAUUUUUCUACUCAAUUGUCAAUUAAUUUUUCUGACUUCUCUGUUCUCCCACCAAAGCAAUAUAUCACCACUGGUCUGAGAAAAACAGAGUGUAGUUUGUGAGAGAUGAUGCAAAGCCCAUUAAAUUGGUGACACAAACCAAACUUACAGCUAACAUUGGUGACAUAAACAGAUCAGUCAAAGCAUAAAAACCAAGUUUUUUUCACAAAAACAAGAGCAGAGAAUUUAUUUCUGAAAACAAAAUCCAUCAAGCACACACCUCUAAUUUGAAGCCUCUUCCACUGUCACUGAUCAAAUGGGUUUUACCGACUAACCUCCUUAAACAAAGCACCGUGUGUUGAGCUAGAGACUGGUAUAGCUGGUGGACGGGAAGGGCUCUGCCCAAAGAAGAAGAUUUCCUUCAAAUGGUAGACAACCAUGAAAUAGGCUAUUCCAGAUUUGGCCAGCAACCAUGCCUCAGCUCAACAAACCCAAUUAGAAAGAAAGAGAUUUUAUAGAGAGAAGUGAAGUGCAUGGGUCUCUCUGUUUAUGUGUGCUUCUGUGUGUGUGUGUGUGUGUGAGAGAGAGAGAGAGAGAGAGAGAGAGAGAGAGAGAGGCGUGUAAGAGGCUUUUGAGUUUUGUUUUUGUGCACACAACAUAGAGUGAGCUGGAGAGAUGGGUCAAGAGGUGAUGAGUACGACAACAUUGUACUUUUCUUUUGUUGGGUCUAUCUCAGCAUUGAACUUUUGUUUUGUUGGGUCUAAAUCAUUAUACUAUUCUUUUUUAGUUGUGUUUGUGUCGUAGCCAAAAGUUACCUUAUUCUUCUCUCAUUAAAAUUCCAUAAAAUGCUUGAACAAAACCAAUCAGGUUUCAACAAAAUAGAAAUUGGCAAUGAUUUUAUCUUAACCUCUAUUGGUUUUCUUUGGGGUUCUCAGGAAACAUUUCACUUGAUUUCUUGACUUGGUGGGCUUGAUUGAUUAUGAGUUUUGAGUCAAAUGUGCUCAUUGUGCAUAUCUGUUUAACUAGGCUUGAUAUUAAUAUAUGCAUAUUGUUUGAUCGUUAUAGAAUUCAGUUAAUUCUUUGAUAUAAUAAUAGAUAUUUGUAAUUGUGAAGUUGUUUACACAAAACUAAAUUUAUGUUGGUGUUAAAAAUAUAAGCAGGAUUUCAUAUAGUGAUGAAAAUUUUGUCAUCUUUUUCUCAUCCUGUGAUAACCUAUAUUUCUCUAAAAAUGUGAUUCGAUCCAAAUAUAAUUCAAUUAUUUGUUUAUUUCACAGCUUGAAUACACUAAAAAGCAAGGGACUAGACAUUUGCAUUCUGCUGUCAUUUUCGAGGUAUAAAAACUCCUCUAAUUCAUUGUUUUUUUAAAUUGAGCAUUAUUAGUCAUGUUAGUCAAUUGAUUUUAAUUAUUUUGUAAGAUUUUAUAUUUUAUUUUCAUCGAUUAUGCUUGCAUACAAGUUAUUUAGAAGUAAUCUUUAUUUUGUUGAUUGAUACAAGUUGGAUAUGCUUUAUUGCUAAAAAUUUUCUCCUCUUUUAAAUAUUUUCCCUUUGAUGUUCUCAUUGAACAUUUUAUCUAAAUCAUUAAUCUGGUGAACUUGGUUGAUUAUAAAUUUUGAGUUCAAUGUCUCAAUUGUACAUAUGGAUUUAACAAGGCUUUAUAUUAAUAUAUAUAUAUAUAUAUAUACUGUUCAAUCAUUAUGAACCGAAGUUGGUUGUCUGAUAAAAUAAUAGAUAUCUAGAAUUGUUAUAUUAUAUUUUAAUUUUUAUUCUUCUGCAGCUGUGUCUUUCUACAAAUAUAUUUUGAUCGAAUAAAAAUUAGUAUCUUUGCUUUGUAAUCAUGAUACAGUGAUAUAAAACAAUUUCGUACUAUGUACUUUCUUUAUAAUAUGUAUGCAUGUAUGUAGAUACACACACAUAUCCGAUCCAAAUAUAAUUCAAUCAUUUGUUUAUUUCACAGCUUGGAUACACCAAAAAGUAAGGGACUAGACAUUUGGAUUCUGCUAUCAUUUUCGAGGUAUAAAAACUCUUCCAAUUCAUUGUUUUCUAACAUUAACCAAUAUUAGUCAUCUUAAUCACUUGAUUUUAAUCAUUUUGUAAGAUUUUUUUAUUUUAUUUUCAUCGAUUGUGCUUGCAUACAAGUUAUUUACAAGUAAUCUUUAUUUUGUUGAUUGAUACAAGUUGAAUAUGCUUUGAUGCUAAAAUUUUCCCCCGUUUUAAAAUAUUUUCCCCUUGAUGUUCUCAUUAAGCAUUUUAUUUAAAUUAUUAAUCUGGUGAGCUUGGUUGAUUAUAAAUUUUCAGUUAAAUGUCUCAACUAUACAUAUCGGUUUAACAAGGCUUUAUAUAAUACAUAUAUAAUGUUUAAUCAUUAUGAAACAAAGUUAGUUGUUUGAUAAAAUAACAGAGAUUUAAUUGAUGUAUAAAAUUAAAUACUUUUGCUUUAUCAAUUUAAUUAUUUGGAUUUGAACCUAUUAACAAAAACUGUUCUUCUACUUAUGUAUUUUAGGUUGUUGCUAUCAUCUUGCUUUUGCAUACGUGUUGCUACAAGUGCUUAACAAAUUCUCUCAUUACAGAUCAGUAUUUUCUAACUUUUCAAAAAAACUGUGCAUAUCAUUUAUAACUAAUUGAUUAGCAAAUAUUAUAUCAUUUGAAGAUUUUCAUUUAUAUAAUUCUAUCAUCAUAUUUCUACAUUUAUUUUGCAUUCUUAGAAUUUAAAUGUUAUUAAUAAUGUGAAAUAUUACUUAUAUAUAUAUGUUUUUUUUUUUCUAGAUAUCAAUCUGUUUUUGGGAAAUUGAAAUCUUCGUUGAUAAUGUCGAAGAGAACUAGAAAACAAAUCAUGCAAGAACCUCAUAAUCUCAUCAUUUCAAAUGAUAUACAAGUCCCAAAUAAAAAUGUUUCUCAUAUUAAUGAUAAACAUCCAAGCGAGAAAAUUCUCAUCAACAGUGAUCAAAACAUUUCUCAAGCUGAUAACAAAAGACAAAAAUGUGUUGAAAGUACAUCAUCUAUCAAUGUGAAUACAGUUGAAACAGCAAUAGAUGAAAUUGAAUUUCAUCGUUUUAAUCAAAUGAGUAAAGGUCAAGCGAUCUUUCAAAGAAAUAGGCAAGGUGGGUGUUUCCCUUUGCUUCAAAAUUUUCUACUAAACUUGAACUACAUUGUUCUAUUACUAAUAACCUACAUUUAUGUUUUCUAUUCUCUCCAUUCUACACCCCUAUAGAAUAAUCUAAGAAUAUGCAGAUUUUGGAGAGAAGAAUCAUAAGUGCAUUUAUUGUGGUGCACUUUUUUGGUUACAAGAAUCCAUUAAACAAAGAUCUAAAAACAAUGAGCCUCUCUUUACUCUUUGUUGCCAACAAGGAAAAAUUAAACUUCAAAGUCCAAAACCAACACCCUGUUUUUUAGAAAAUUUGCUUGAUCCUAAUAAAGGGAAAAAAAGUGUAUUAUUCAGAGAAAAUAUCAGGGUUUACAAUUCUAUGUUUGCAUUUACUUCAAUGGGAGCCAAAAUUGAUAAAUCAAUUAACAAUGGAUCAAGCCCUUAUGUUUUCAAAAUCAGUGGUCAAGUUCAUCAUUUAAUGGGUUCUUUACUACCUCCUGAGGGUCAAUGUCCUAAAUUUUCCCAACUUUAUAUAUAUGAUACCCAUAAUGAGGUUAUGAAUCGGCUUGAUGCAGUUAAUUGUAAUAAAAAAAAAAUGAAAAGCUAGAUCAAAACAUUGUGGACAGUUUAAUUCAAAUGUUUGAUCAAACAAAUGAAUUGGUUAAACUUUUUCGAACAAUUAGAGAUAAAUUUGAAAAAGGUUCUCUUCCUCCUCUAAAGAUCACAUUGUUAGGCAGGCAAUCCAAUGAUAGCAAACAAUAUGAACAAUCAACAUGUGAUGAAAUUGGUGGUUUAAUAGUGGGAGAUAUAGGCCUUUUUGAUUCAAAUAGAGAUAUUAUAAUAGAAUUUAAAAGUGGAGAGUUAAAACGUGUGACAAAAUUAAAUCCAAAAUUCAUGUCUUUACAAUAUCCUCUUCUUUUUCCUUUUGGUAAAGAUGGGUAUACACCUGACUUAAAAUGGCAUUGUACAAACCAUGAAUCUAAACGAAGAAGAAUUUCUAUGAGAGCUUUUAUAGCUUAUCAAAUACAAGAAAGAGAGUUUCAAUUCGAUACAUUAUUAAAAGGUGGAAGAUUGUUCCAACAAUUUUUAGUAGACGCUUAUGCAACACGUGAAGAAGAUCGAUUAGAUUAUAUUAGGAAAAAUAAAAAAAAUUUAAGAAGUGAGGUUUAUAAAGGCAUUUAUGAUGCAAUUUCAAAGGGUGAUAAUGAUGCUAAUAAUGUAGGUCAAAGAAUGAUAUUACCUAGCUCAUAUACUGGAAGUGCUAGAUACAUACUUAACAAUUAUCAAGAUGCUAUGGCAAUUUGUAGAAAAUAUGAAAAUCUUGAUUUAUUUAAAACUUUCACCUGCAAUGUUAAAUGGCCCGAAAUUGUAAGAGAGUUUAAUGCAAAACCUGGAUACAAACUAGAAGAUCGGCCUGAUAUAGUUUCAAGAUUAUUUAAAAUAAAACUUGAUGAUAUGAAUAAUUAUAUCAAAUCAGGAGAACCUUUUGGAGAAAUCGAAGCAUGUAUAUUUAAAAACACACCAUUUAUACUACUCUCCAUUUUUAUCAUUUUAUUAAAUAAUAAAACUAACUAAGAAUUUUUUCCCUUUUUUCACCCAAUCAACACAGAUGUUUGUACUGUCGAAUUCCAAAAAAGAGGAUUGCCACAUGCUCACAUGUUGAUUUGGUUAAAACAAAAUUAUAAAUAUUAUUCAGCAGUUGANNNNNNNNNNNNNNNNNNNNNNNNNNNNNNNNNNNNNNNNNNNNNNNNNNNNNNNNNNNNNNNNNNNNNNNNNNNNNNNNNNNNNNNNNNNNNNNNNNNNNNNNNNNNNNNNNNNNNNNNNNNNNNNNNNNNNNNNNNNNNNNNNNNNNNNNNNNNNNNNNNNNNNNNNNNNNNNNNNNNNNNNNNNNNNNNNNNNNNNNNNNNNNNNNNNNNNNNNNNNNNNNNNNNNNNNNNNNNNNNNNNNNNNNNNNNNNNNNNNNNNNNNNNNNNNNNNNNNNNNNNNNNNNNNNNNNNNNNNNNNNNNNNNNNNNNNNNNNNNNNNNNNNNNNNNNNNNNNNNNNNNNNNNNNNNNNNNNNNNNNNNNNNNNNNNNNNNNNNNNNNNNNNNNNNNNNNNNNNNNNNNNNNNNNNNNNNNNNNNNNNNNNNNNNNNNNNNNNNNNNNNNNNNNNNNNNNNNNNNNNNNNNNNNNNNNNNNNNNNNNNNNNNNNNNNNNNNNNNNNNNNNNNNNNNNNNNNNNNNNNNNNNNNNNNNNNNNNNNNNNNNNNNNNNNNNNNNNNNNNNNNNNNNNNNNNNNNNNNNNNNNNNNNNNNNNNNNNNNNNNNNNNNNNNNNNNNNNNNNNNNNNNNNNNNNNNNNNNNNNNNNNNNNNNNNNNNNNNNNNNNNNNNNNNNNNNNNNNNNNNNNNNNNNNNNNNNNNNNNNNNNNNNNNNNNNNNNAAGAUGUGGAAACCUAGCAACGAGAAUCCGAUCCCUUGGCAGAAUAGCUUAUGUACAUCCUGCAUCUGGUGAAUUAUAUUAUUUAAGAAUGCUUUUGAAUUUGCAAAAAGGGGCUUUUCACUUUAAUGACCUAAAAACUAUUAAUGGUAUUAUAGAACCAUCAUACCAAGCUGCAUGUAAAUCCCUAGGUUUGUUAGGAGAUGAUAAAGAAUGGAUUGAAGCCUUAGCAAAUGCUGUAAACACAGCCACAUGUCCUCAAUUAAGGCAAUUAUUUGUCACAAUCAUUUUAUUUUGUGAUGUAGGAAAUCCUCAAAUCCUUUUUAACACUUAUUGGCAAAAUAUGUCUGAAGACAUUUUACACAAAUUACGACAAACUUUCGAAAUGCCAAAUCUAAUUGUAUCAGAAUCAGAAUUAAAAAAUUCUCUUUUAUUUGAAUUAGAACAGCUUUUCAAUGUAUCUUCCAGCUCUUUAAAAGAGCAUCACCUUCCUAUGCCUGAUGAAUAUAGAAUGUUAGAACUUAGAAAUAAAUUGCUUAGAGAAGAAUUAAAUUAUGAUUAUAAUAAUUUAGAAAAAGAACACUCCAUUUUAGUUACACAACUUAACAAAGAUCAAAAAGAUGUAUAUGAUUGUGUUGUAAAAACUAUUGAAGAAAAAAUACCAGGUCUUUUUUAUGUCCACGGUCAUGGAGGAACAGGGAAAACUUUUUUGUGGCAUACUAUAAUAAGUAAAAUUCGAUCCCAAGGAAAUAUUGUUUUAGCUGUUGCUUCAUCAGGAAUAGCAUCAUUAUUAUUACCUGGUGGUAGAACAGCUCACUCUAGAUUUAAAAUUCCCCUUAAUUAUUAACAAUUGCUCAACAUGUCAAAUAAAAAAAGGAACUCAUCUUGCCAAAUUAAUUGAAAAAGCUGCUUUAAUUGUUUGGGACGAAGCUCUUAUGAAUCACAAACAUUGUUUUGAAGCAUUAGAUAAAUCACUUUCUGAUAUUUUAUCACAUUUAAAUCCUUUAGAUAACAAUGUUCCAUUUGGUGGGAAACCUUUAUUAUUAGGUGGUGAUUUCAGACAAAUAUUACCAGUUAUUCCAGGAUGAACAAGAGAAGAAAUAAUAGAUGCCUCCCUCAAUAGCUCUUAUUUAUGGCCUUUUUUUAAAAUAUUCCAUUUAAAAGAAAAUAUGAGACUCUCGAAAAAUGGAUUAAACAUUGAAGAAAAACAAAAAAUAAAUGAUUUUGCUACAUGGAUUUUGCGCAUCGAUAAUGGUCAAAUUGUUGAUAUUGAUGAUCCAAAUGAUAAAGAUGCAUCUUGGAUCAAAAUUCCUCAAGAUUUACUUAUACAUUCAUACACACAUCCUAUUCAUUCCAUUUUUUUAGCAACAUACCCAAAUUUUGAAAGAAAUUUCAAUAGAUUUUACUUAUUUAAGAGAACGAGCUAUUGUAACACCUCGAAACACAACUGUAANNNNNNNNNNNNNNNNNNNNNNNNNNNNNNNNNNNNNNNNNNNNNNNNNNNNNNNNNNNNNNNNNNNNNNNNNNNNNNNNNNNNNNNNNNNNNNNNNNNNNNNNNNNNNNNNNNNNNNNNNNNNNNNNNNNNNNNNNNNNNNNNNNNNNNNNNNNNNNNNNNNNNNNNNNNNNNNNNNNNNNNNNNNNNNNNNNNNNNNNNNNNNNNNNNNNNNNNNNNNNNNNNNNNNNNNNNNNNNNNNNNNNNNNNNNNNNNNNNNNNNNNNNNNNNNNNNNNNNNNNNNNNNNNNNNNNNNNNNNNNNNNNNNNNNNNNNNNNNNNNNNNNNNNNNNNNNNNNNNNNNNNNNNNNNNNNNNNNNNNNNNNNNNNNNNNNNNNNNNNNNNNNNNNNNNNNNNNCCAUGUUAUGCAAUGACAAUAAAUAAAAGUCAAGGCCCAAUCAUUAAACAAGUUGGAUUAUAUCUUCUCAACCUGUAUUCACUCAUGGACAACUUUACGUUGCAUUAUCCAGGGUUACAUCAAAACAAGGUCUUAAAAUCUUAAUAGAAAAUAAUCAAGAAGUACCAAAUAAUUACACUAAAAACAUAGUGUAUAAAGAUGUUCUUCAAAAUUUAUAAUGAAGUUCCAAUUUUGAUGUAUCCAUAAUUAAAUAUUUGUAUAUUUUUUUCUCAUGCCUUUUAAUAUAUAUAUGCAUGCAUUUUUAUGCUAACAAAAAAUUUACAGGUUUAAAGCACAAUGAGUUUCACUUAUAUCCGUGAUUUACAACCGUUCCAAUUUAACAAGAAACUCAAAGUGCGUAUUUACAGAAUGUGGCGACCAAAACUUAUUGGAUCUACUGAUCAAUUUGACGGCCUUCAGUGUAUCUUGGUUGACCAAAAGGUAAGAAAAUCUCUUUUCUAUGUUAUUUCAAUUUAAUUAUAAUAACACCACUUAAAGAAACCCUUUGUUUAAUAUCUGUUUCUAUUGAGCUCCCUUAGUUUUUGGUGGAUAUUGGCGUGUCAGUGUGUGUUCUUCCUAUUAUUGAUAUUGAACCCAUUUUUCUAGGAGGCCAUAACCAUAUAAAGCAGGUAUAAAUUUAGUCAAAAUGCUUCUGUAGAGGAUCUAAAUAAUUAACAAUAUUGCGGUAAACUGUGUUAUCUAUGGGCUUUGUUAGAUCUAGAUUCAUUAUAUAUAGUCUACUUACUUUUUUAUUUUUUAUUUUUUUAAAAAUGAAUGUAUUAUCAUAUAUUUGUAUUUCCUUCCUUUUAAAUAUAAUUUCCCCAUAUUAAUUUUCCUCUUCCUCUNNNNNNNNNNNNNNNNNNNNNNNNNNNNNNNNNNNNNNNNNNNNNNNNNNNNNNNNNNNNNNNNNNNNNNNNNNNNNNNNNNNNNNNNNNNNNNNNNNNNNNNNNNNNNNNNNNNNNNNNNNNNNNNNNNNNNNNNNNNNNNNNNNNNNNNNNNNNNNNNNNNNNNNNNNNNNNNNNNNNNNNNNNNNNNNNNNNNNNNNNNNNNNNNNNNNNNNNNNNNNNNNNNNNNNNNNNNNNNNNNNNNNNNNNNNNNNNNNNNNNNNNNNNNNNNNNNNNNNNNNNNNNNNNNNNNNNNNNNNNNNNNNNNNNNNNNNNNNNNNNNNNNNNNNNNNNNNNNNNNNNNNNNNNNNNNNNNNNNNNNNNNNNNNNNNNNNNNNNNNNNNNNNNNNNNNNNNNNNNNNNNNNNNNNNNNNNNNNNNNNNNNNNNNNNNNNNNNNNNNNNNNNNNNNNNNNNNNNNNNNNNNNNNNNNNNNNNNNNNNNNNNNNNNNNNNNNNNNNNNNNNNNNNNNNNNNNNNNNNNNNNNNNNNNNNNNNNNNNNNNNNNNNNNNNNNNNNNNNNNNNNNNNNNNNNNNNNNNNNNNNNNNNNNNNNNNNNNNNNNNNNNNNNNNNNNNNNNNNNNNNNNNNNNNNNNNNNNNNNNNNNNNNNNNNNNNNNNNNNNNNNNNNNNNNNNNNNNNNNNNNNNNNNNAGCCUGAAAGUUAAACAAUUUCAAGGUAUCCAAUUUAUUUUCACUUUUUCCUAUUAUUUACACUUCAUUUCAAAUAAAAACAAAUCUAAUUUAUUAUUUAUCAAUAUGUAGGGAAAAUUGUUCUCAACAGUAGUGUCUCCACAUUAAUUUUUAUCAAUCCAGAUGUACAAGAAUUGGCGGCCUACAAAACGAUGUAUGAAUUUUUAUCAUUUUUGUUUUAACAUAUACCUUUGUUUCCCCAUUUUUCUAAAUUAACACCUCUUUUUUAUUAUAUAAAAAUAACAAUAACCACAGCUUUAAUGACUCUACACAUGCCAUUAAAAUGAUGCCUUCUUCCGCCACUCAACUAAUGACACCUCAACAUUAAGAAGCUGCUAAAAAACUAUCUGUCCAAGAGUUAAAUGUUCUUGAUCCAAAGACACAUAAGGUAAAUACACUAACUUCUUUCUUUAAUCUCUUUAUUAUUCAUAUUUUAACAUACAAUUUCACAAAUUAUUUAAACUAAAUUUCACUUUAUUCUUCUCUUAGCGCUAUAUAUUUUAUAAUUGUUUUUGCUAUAUUAAUAUAUAUUUUUUAAAUAUAUUUUAGGACACUCCCAUUUUAUGCAAAACAGCUAUUACGCGUUUUGACACACGUAACGGUUGGUGGUAUAAAGCAUGUCCAUCUUGCUUUAAACAACUUAGAACUGCUGCCCACCGUGAUGAACUUUUGUGCCCAAAACACAAUAAUCAAAUUCCUCUCCCUUGGUAAUACAAAUCUCAACAAUUUGUUUCAUUUUAUUUUUCCAUAAAAUUUAAACACAAUUAUUUUAAUUAUUAAAACAUUACAUAAAUUUUACAUACAGGUUCAAAGUGAGCUUGGUGCUUGAAGAUUCAACUGAUGAAACCAAUGCAAUCAUAAUUGGAAGACCAGCAGAACAGUUGUUUAGAAUUUCUUGCAAUGAAUUGGUUGUUCAAAGAGGUUUAAUCGACCAACAACAAUUGCCAGAUGCAAUUCUGCAAACAAGAGGACAAGUUAAAAAUUUUCAACUUCGAUUUGGGAGCAUGAGAGGUGAUUUCAAUAGAAAUGAUCUACUCAUUCAAGCAAUCUUCGAUGACACAAUGCCACUUCUUGAACCAACAUCGCAAUCAUCUGACAAAAGUUUGGCUGCACAUGAUACAGAAAACAUUGGUACCCAAAUGGUUCCACCCAUUACCCCACUUCUCUCAAAGCAAAUUCCAAGUGCAUCUUCCACAAGCUCAGCUGAUGCUUCUAUAACAGAAGCUACCCCAAUUUCAAAAAAAAACAUACAUAGACGCUGUCAAAAGAGCUCUCUUUACCUUUCGUCCAUCAAAAAAACCAAACAGGUUAGAAUUUAUAUAAUAAUUAACUCCUUUAUAUCAAUAUUUACGCAUAUUCUAACAUUUACCAAUAUAUUUCUUUCUUUUCCAUUUAGCAUUUCUUUAAGUCAUGUUCAAACCGAAAACGAAUCUGAAAACAUGGUUGCAACAAAAAGCAUGGAGGAAAUUGUAUCAAAUUCUGAUUUACCAAUCAUUGGCUUAAAGAAGAAAUCAAGCAUGGAGAGUUUGGCAACCAGUACUCCUACCCCGAAAUUAGAGUUUGUAUUCUCUAAUUCACUCAUCUCAUUUAAAUACAUAUUACAUGCAUAAUAUUCAAUUAUUCAUACCUUCUGUCAUAUUCUGAUUGAUGCUUUGUUUUAAUAUAUUAUAAGAUUAUCUCUACUUAUUAUAUAGGUGUAAAAACCAUUUAACCACUAUUGAAUUAAGUAUAAAUGAAAUUUUUGCAUGCUGAAUGUUUGGAAAUACUAUUAAAUUGUCAUAUUUACAGGUGAAUUUUUUUGGAAAAUUUCCGUUUUUCAGGGGAGGUUCUGCCCGUUUUUCAACAGAAAUGUCAAGCCCUUAAGUAAUUUUAACUCCAAAUAAGGGCAAAAGAGUCAUAUGUUCCUAAUACAUAAGAGAAUUAAAAGCCUAAACAUUAUAUUUACAUCCUUUUUUUCAAUUUUUCUUCAAUAUAUCCAACCAUGAUUAUUUUACCUCUCUUCAACUUUUCCUUUAGAUAAACACAGAAUUUAAAAUAUGUUUACUUUGUGUUACUUCAAUUGGAAAACCAUCUACAGCUUGCUCAUUAGUUCUCUUAAUUUUGUUACUUUGUGUUUCCUAGAUUGGAAAACCAUUUAUAACUUUCUUAUUAAAUUGUUAAAUUAUAUUAUUCAUGUUUAUACAUAAUUAGAUGUUUAUGAUUAUUGUCCUAACUCAAUUUUCCCCAUUCAUCAACAUUAACAUUUACUAUUUUCCCACUUUUUUAUAACAGGGUCAAGACCUCCAUCAAAGAAAAGAAAAAUCAUGAAGAAAUUGCAAAACAAAAUUCGCCCAAUUAAACAGCAUGCUGGUCAAAACUAUCCAAAUUUUGCUAUUUUGAUGGCUACUUCCCACUAUUAACAUCUCAAUGUAUAUACAAACAAGUCUCUACUAUUUUAACAUAACAAGUAGCCUGUAAAAUAUGUUAUUACUUCCUUUUUGGCAACUUAUACUCCCUUAGUUAAACAUAAUGCUACAAGUUAAAUCUCAUUGUAUAUAUAAACAAUCUUACUUUGUCUACGUAAUUUCAAAACCCGCAGCAUCGCACGGGCUUUUCUGCUAGUACAACUGUAAGAGCUUUAACAGGAACAGAGCUGCCUUCCAUCCCUGAAUUGUGAUUAAACCAAUGCUCAAGGUGAAGAUAGGAACCUCACCCUAUUCGGAAGCUCUUCCAUCCCCAACCCCUUUUAAUUGUCGAGAACCCUCCUAUUCCUCCCCUUCUGAUGUUAGCCAACUCACUCCAGCCUUCCUGAAUAAUACAUACCACAAAUUUGAGAUACUGGUCUACAUUCUCCCUGGUUUAUUUUGCUUCCCCAUUGUUCUAAUAGAUAACACCCUUGCCUUCUCAUCUGGUUUACUCAUUUGCCAGAGUGUUAGGAAUGAAGACCAGAAGGCCGGUGUCCAGAUUUUCCUCAUCUCAAGGACCUGACUUUAGACAAGUGUCUGAAGCUAAGAGGAAGCUUGCCUUCUCAUCUUACUUGCUUGAAAGACUUAGCUUGUCAUCCGGGUGUGGGGUUCUACAUGAUGAAAGGGCCAGUACUACUUGUAACAUGGAAUAAUGUCUUUGAAGAAUUAGAAAUAUAUGAUGGAUGCCCAGGUCUGUUCUCGUUACUGUUCGUGCUCCUAUUUGAUACGAUGCCAUUUCCAAUUCAAAAACUUUUCAGGUAUGUUAAGAAAGUAUUACACAACUAGAUGUUUAUGAUUCAAAUUCAAAACAAAGCACAAAUUGGAUUCAUAUAAAUCUACCUAAUUGCCGCGCCAUUGAUUGUAACAAUUGAUAAUUGAAUAUGCAUCUUUCAGUGUCGUCCCCUUUAAGUUUUUAGCGUAUCAAUUAGUCUCUAUCAUCUCUAUUUUCUUGUACAUUACAUACUUGUUGGUUGGAAAUUAGUUUUCAGAAGCUACAUGAGUUGGGGUUAACUAGAGAAAUUAGUUUGUUCAUAUUCUGUCGGUCCUUUUCUGUGCCUUUCACAUCCGAAAGGUUUGCUUUCUGCAAUUAUUCGAACUACAGUUCCAUUUCAUUAGAAUUUUUUUUCUUUGUUGUAUCUCUAGACUCUCUGCGUAAGAUUCCCAAUGGGAACUACCCCAACUUGACCCAAUUUGGCAUGGAUUUUGUAUUUUGAGAUUUCAAGCUAACUGCUGCUAAUGGAAGCCCUCCUUCUUUCACUUGUUAAUUCUUAGGGAAUAACAAUUUUACAUUCUAUUUACAUUUACAACUGAAGAAAACUAAAGCGCAUUGCAUGCUCUUUUAUGGUAGAAUGACCUUAUCAUCUUCCUACAAACUCGAGAAAUGCAUGCUCUGAUGUGUUGAAGUUGAAGAUUUCGAGAAAGAAUGAAAGCUGUAGCAGAAAACAUAGGGCUGAGAUCUCUCCAAGGCAUUGCUCCACUCUCUCACAAUCUCUGUUCCUUGUAUUAUGAAGCUUACAGGAUUACUCAUUACUGACCAUCAUCACAUGAUCUUGUAGGUGAUUGUGGGGAGGUUUGCCAAUUGACCUUGUGAAAUCAAAAAAGAAAAGUGAGUUUGCUUUUUUAUAUUUGAAAGUUGGCACCUUUGUUUAUAUUCUUUGCACUAGACCGUUGCUCAGAACCAUCCAUCUUAAUCUUUCUGAUCAUUUACAAGGUCCCUGAAAUUGGUACAUAGGUGACGAGGGGUAAAUUUAAAAGAUAUUCAAUCAAGAACGUAACAACCUUCACACUCUAGACCUUGACCAAAUACUCUUAUGACUAGUCAACUGUUAGAUAUGAAUUAUACUAAACAAUAACAUACACAGAGCAUACCAAGAUGUACCUGCAGGCCUAGAGAAUUACUAGUGACAACCUAGGCACUCAGAAGGACCCAUCAAUCUAGGCAUCCUCUGUGCUAGCAACAACUAUGGUGAAAGUGUGUGAAGACAACAUAAUCAAGCAAACACCAAACAGCAGAAAAAGAUGACUAGUCAACCGCACAAAUUCAGAUGACUGGUCAACUAUCAAGAACACAAACCCAGAAAAUUUACAGAGAUGGAAACCAGAAAUUGUUCACCCAGAAACCCACCAUUGGGAAAAACUGGGGGUCAUCAACCGACCAGGCAAUCCACUAAGUAGAAAAAGAUUCUUACAAAGGAACACAAGCAAGCUCAAGCAAAACCUAGAUCUAUUUAGGAAGAUGAGCAAUACCUCCUUUGUGCAAUCUUCUUCUCCAACUUAGCAAAGCUUGAAGCUCAGUUCUUCAUGGCAAUGGCAGCUCCUCCAGCUCUUUCAUCCCAUGGCACUAGCUUGCAAGCUCUAACUCAGACAGAAAUGAAAUUUGGAUUCAUGGAGAAAAUGACCAAUUUCUUCAAGAAAACAUACUCUUGAAGAAAUCAAUCUUGAAUCUGACCUAGAUGUAUAUGAUAGAGUGUUUGAUCUAGCAAGAAGAAGUUUUCAUAUUUCAAAUGUAGUUUUCAAAAAGAAACAAUUUGGAAAACUCAAAGAUGAAAAAAAUGAAGGUCACUCUUGAGGAAGAAGAAGCGAAAGUUUGCUAUGAAACUUUCCAAAACUCCUCCCCAAAAGUGACGGCUUCCCAAAGAGGAAUCACAAGGCCUUUACAGACCAAAAAUUCCCUUAGGUUAGAAUCCCAUGUGGCAGCCAAGAGAUAAAAAAGAAUAGGACAAAAAAGUUGUUUAUCAAGCUGGAGAGCAAGGAUGACUAGUCAUCCAAGAAACAGAUGACUAGUCAUCAUUUUAUGAAAACAGUAUAAUGCAAUGUUAUGCAAUGCACAAUUUACCUUUGCCAAUUUGCAUGAACCUCCAUAUGAUAGUUGUUAGUUAAGAACACCUAGAGAAGCUAUUCUCAAUCUAAACUUGAGCUUGAUAAAUAACAAUAGAAAUCCUAUUACAAAGUUGUCAAGGGAAGCCAAAAGAAAAACCCAAAAUGCAUACAUUAACAGUCCCUUGACGGCAGUGGAAGGGGCACAUGUUUUUUACUGAAGGGAUACUUAACGACAGCAAUAAACUUAACAUCCUUAUUAUAUGCAGACAGUUCAUUUGUGUUUGGAGGGGCGGCCUUCAUCUGAUCUGACCACAUGGAAAAGCUCUCUUUGUGUUGAUGAAGAAUUCUUCAUCUCAAACAAGAUAAAACUGAUGUUAAACCCUGGGGGCCACGUCUUCGUUUGGUUUUCUUGCAAGAAACUGAUGAUAAACUGAUGUUAGUGCUCGUAUUGAAAGAUUAUAGCUUUGUCUAUGAAUUCUUCAAGGACAGCCAGUCUGAUACUGAUUGUUGUUUCCAACAAAAGCUUUGUCUCUACACAUUAUAGCUUAUUCGUCGAAUGUUACAUAUAUUCAAUGUUUCCAUACAUUUCCAGAAUUUUGACAAGCAAACGGUCAUUCAUUGAAGUUCAAUAUGAAAUCUUCUGAGGUUGUCUAUGCAAUGGGAUAAGCUGCUCAUGUUAUGACCCUUCUCUUCCUAGUUCCCAUGACAAUCACAAUAUUAUGCCUCCACUUAAGCAAAUUAGAAGACACUUCGGAGUUCGGAUAUUAAAAGUAGAAUGCUACAUGCACAACUCAUCAUAAAAUCUCUCUUAAAAAUUUUGAGCGUUAACAAGUAAAUAAACAUUCACUCACAUUUUAUUUGCACUUAAAAAUUAAAAUUGUUGUGCAUGGAACUAAAUUGACACUGAUUUUAUUUUAUACCUUCUCUUUCUUAUUUCCAUGAGUGAAUUUAUGUUUUGCUUGCUAAUGCUCAACAAUUUUAAGACAAAUGCUCUAUGAUUAUGCCUCAGUUUUAAUUUGUCAUCUUAAUUUUUCAAAAUCCAUGAUUUGUCUUUAAGACCAUCCAAUUUUCCAUAUAUUUUAAGGGUAUUUUAGUCUUUAUAUUUUCAAGGGUAUUUUAAACAUGGAAAAUUCAUUAUAACACAAAUUGUAUAUCUUUUAAACAAUUAAAAUUGGAAAAGAAAAAAAAAUUGCCUUCCCCCAUCCCUUGUGUGUUGACCAGGCAACAUUGUACACGACUCGUUAACACGACACGAAUUCGAAAAAAAAAAAUUCAUUUUUCGGGUAUGAGUUAUCGGGUCGUGUUGCUAUCGUGUUGACCCGUUAGCCACAUGAUAAGCUAACGGGUCGUUUCAUGUUCAUUCGCGAAAACACGAAUCAACCCGUUAAGCGAGUGUAUUUUUGUAAUUUUCUAGCAUUCUGCGUUCAUUACUCUUCAUCCCGCCUCCAUUUCUACUAGGUUUUCAUUUUCAUAUUGUUUGUUUUGUCAAUAAGCUCAUUUCUGUCCAAAUUUCAAUUUUUUCUGACUUUUUGCUGGUGGGUUUUGCAAAUUCUUUACAAAGAUGAAUGAUUUUAUGACUAAAUUGUUCUUAAGUUAUGUGGAAUUGAAGAAACAGGGACAGAAGGACCUCGAAGCCGAUCUUGAUGUUGAAGGAGGCCAAGGCAAACCAACUCAGCCUGUCAGACCAAGAAAAUCUCUCUUAGUUUUUCCAAGAAGUCAUAGCAAUCAAGAGCGAAAUGGAAGAGAUAACUAAAGACUUGUAUGAUCUUCAGAGUUUUAAUAUUUUAUUAUUUCAGUUUUUUAAAAUUAUUUUUAAAUUUUUUUAUUAUUAUUAACAGGUGAAACGGGUUGUGUCGUGUUGUGUGAUUUGCAAAUUGUAAUGGGUCGUGUUCGUGUUUGACAUUUUCAGCUCGUUUUCUUAUCGUGUCGUGUUGUGUCAACCCGUUAAGAAAAGCGAGUUGACACGAAAACGACACGUACAUUGCAAAAACGACAUGAAUGCCAAGUCUACUUGUGCCAUCAUUGGUUUCCUACAACCAAAAAGGUUCAUUCCUAUAUGCCAUCAUUGUGGCACAUUAGGACACAUUAGACCAAAGUGUUUUGAUUUUAGGAAUUUUGAGCAAAAGCCUUUUGUUCAUUUCAAGAAAGUAAAUGAUGACUCACUUCAAACUCAAGUGAAUGAUUUUCUUUAUAAAGUUGUCAAAAUUCCUAAGGUUAUCUCUUUGCCUCAUAAAGUCUCAAAAGUGAAGCAAGUUUGGAUCAAGAAGGAAGACCAUGUUCUUCCUCAUGUUGGUGACUAGUUUCUUUAUUUUAUGUAUCUAGACCAUUCUCUUAUUUGUGUGUGCUUCAUGGAGUCUAGAUACAUUGUCAUGCAUUUGCACCUUGUUCUUUUGUUUUAUUAUUUUUAAAUGUGGUCAUUGCAUGCAUAUCUUUCAAUCAUCUCUCUCACAGUGCUUUGAAUCUUGGGUGAUCAACAAAAUUUCAUGUUCUUUUGAACUUGUUCACAUUUAUCUUGUUGGUCUUGUCCAAACAUUUUCCCUAAAUGGCAAGGAAUACAUCCUAUCCAUUGUAGAUGACUUCUUUGGGUUUAUUUAGAUCUCACUCUUGCUUGAAAAAUCAGAGACCUUUCAAAGGUUUAAAUCUGUCUACCAUCUUUUACAAAAAGUUAAAAUGACUAGUCAUCUGCCUCUUGUUAGAAUUAGAACAGAUCAUGGUUCUGAGUUUGAGAAUUCUCAGCUUCUGAAAUUUUGUGAGGUGAUGAGAAUUAAGCAUGAGUUCUUUGCACCUAUUACACCUCAGCAAAAUGGUGUUGUGGAGAAAAAAAAAUAGAGUUCUUGUUGAGAUGGCUAGGGUGAUGCUCAAUAGCAAAAAUUUUGCUAAACAUUUUUUGGGUUUACAUCUCAAACAGGGAGUUUUUUAGGUAUGGUGCCAAACAAACUCCCUAUGUGCUUUGGAAAGGUAAGAAACCUAAUGUGUCUUAUUUUAGAGUCUUUGGUAGCACAUGUUUUAUCUUAAGAGAUUGGGAACACCUUGCUAAGUUUGACUCUAAAAGUGACGAAGGAAUUUUUCUUGGGUAUUCCACUUCAAGCUGAGCCUAUAUAGUAUACAAUUAUAGGACCGGAACCAUCAUGUCAAUGUUGAUGACUUUGCUGCCUCUAUUGAGACGGCAUGAGAUGAGGAUGGUCUUUUAUCUUCUAUGCUUUAGGGAGAAUCUCCAGGUCUGGAUCUAGUGGUUGACCUGUCAACCUUUAGCAAAUCAGUUGACCAGUCAACUCUUGACAAUUCUGUUCCAGUUGACCUGUCAACUUGUCAUAAUCAACCUCAGAAUCUCAGCUCAUCUGUCCCUGUUGAAAACUUUCUAUAGAAGCAAGAUAGGAAGCCUUCUAUACUUGACUGCAAGUAGACCUGAUAUUUCCUAUAGUGUAUGAGUUUUGUGCUAGGUUCCAAAGUGAUCCCAAAGAGUCUCAUUUGUUUGCUGUCAAAAGAAUCAUAAAAUAUGUGAGUAGAACUUUUGAGUUUGGGUGGUAGUAUACUUGUGACACUUGUGUCAAUCUUGUUGGGUAUAGUGAUGCCGAUUGGGCAGGUUGUAGUAAUGGUAGGAAAAGCACUUCCGGGAGGGUCUUUUAUGUAGGCAACAAUCUUGUUGCUUGGCAUAGCAAAAAAUAGAAAUCUAUCUCCUUAUCCAUUGCUGAAGCAGAGUAUGUUACAUCUGGGAGUUGCUGCACUCAACUCCUUUGGAUGAGACAAAUGUUGGAAGACUAUGGUCUUGCUCAACCAUGCUUUCUAAUCUAUUGUGACAACAUGAGUGGUAUAGAUAUUUCUAAAAAUCCUGUUCAACACUCUAGGACUAAGCAUAUAGACAUUAGGCACCAUUUUAUUAGAGAUCUUGUGGAAGACAAAAUUCUAUCUUUGGAAUUUGUUCCCUCUGUGAAACAGCUAGCAGAUAUACUCAACAAGGCCUUGGACUUUCAUAAACAUGUCACACUUAGGUAGUCCAUUGGCCUUUGCUCAAUUGAUUGAUUAGCUUGUCUGUUCCUUAUCUUCAGCUCAUUGUAGAACUGUUGACUAGUCAUCUUCGUUUUAGUUGACUAGUCAAAUAUAAAUUUUUGUUUACUUGGUGUGCAAAUGUCAAAAACAUCUGUUUCUUCUGAUCUCUGAUGGUGCGAAGUUUGAUUCAUUUUAUGCUUUGCCUGAUUUGUGUAUAAUUCCCCCUUCUAGUUUGGAGCCAUUAGAUGAAAAUUUUUGGUGUUUUUAUGUCCUCUUGGUGAGACAAGUGUUGUGAUCCAUUGUGGACAAUCAUUGUUAUAAUCUCCUAUCUUAUAUCACUCUCGUAGGCAAUUUGUUUAUAAAUAAAAAAAAAGAAAAAAAAAAGAAAAAGGGAAGUGUGACCAAUGUAGUCACGACUCUAGGAAGGUAUAAGGUGAUAUGAUUGAAGAAUCUAGAGCAAGAGCCGCAAAAUUGGGCCACUUAUGCACUUAAGUCUGGGAUGUGCAAAUAAUAAACAUAAUAAAUGGCCAGAUUGAGUGAUGAAAAUCAAAUAGGUUGAGUCUAUGCUUUGAGUUUGUCUUGAAGGUUCAUUAUAUACUUGUCUCUCCAAGAAUGAUAUUUCUUCAUCUCUUGUGUUUUUCUUUUGGCUCUGAACCUCCUCUGUCCAUCUUGCCUUAUCUCUGAGCAUGAAAUCUAAUUCAUAUUCUAUCUAUCAGAGUUAGUUGCAAUUGUUUUGUUUGCACAUGUGGUUAUCUUCUCUCUCGCUUACUCACUGUGCUUGAAGACUUGGACUAGGCUAUAGUAGCUAAUACAUCGUUGAUCACUUGAUAUAUUUGCUAGUUCAUGUUUGUGUUUUUAAAAUCAAAAUCAUGUCUUCUUCAGGGUCGAUACUAAAAUUGAUGCUUGUUAUGAUAUUGCUUGAGUUCACUAGUCAACAUAUGCUCAUGCUAAUUGUGGUUGACUAGUCAUCUGCUUAACAGGGAUCUUGUGACUUUUGGUGAAAUUAAUUUUCACUCUCUAAGAACCAUGACCAUUGGUUAUGACACAAAACACAAAGGUUCACUUGUCUUCUCCUUGUCGCAUUUAUACCUUCUGUUUCAACACUGGUACUGUGUUUAUGUGUGGUCGUGUUUGGAUGAUGCCACUUUGGUCUAUGACCCUAUCUUAAUAAGUUGUGUGUCCCACAUUCAAUGAUUUAGCCUAAUAUAAUCUUGAAAUCCUUAUGAGUCUGUUGUGCUAUAUGAGUUUUGGAUUGUUGGCUAAUCUAUUUUGUUGGGGGAGUUUCUUUGAGAUGCAUGUGUUUUGGCAACAUUCUUGCUGGUUGUUUUUAUCAUUUUCAUACAUCAAUGUUGCCUUCCUAAACAACUGUUCUGCUGGUCUUCCAAAUAUGAUUGCAUUGGUUUCAUCAGUUGAAUCUUCAAGCACCAAGCUCACUUUGAACCUGUAUGUAAAAUUUAUGUAAUGUUUUAAUAAUUAAAAUAAUUGUGUUUAAAUUUUAUGGAAAAAUAAAAUGAAACAAACUGUUGAGAUUUGUAUUACCAAGGGAGAGGAAUUUGAUUAUUGUGUUUUGGGCACAAAAGUUCAUCACAGUGGGCAGCAGUUCUAAGUUGUUUAAAGCAAGAUGGACAUGCUUUAUACCACCAACCGUUACGUGUGUCAAAACGCGUAAUAGCUGCUUUGCAUAAAAUGGGAGUGUCCUAAAAUAUAUUUAAAAAAUAUAUAUUAAUAUAGCAAAAACAAUUAUAAAAUAUAUAGCGAUAAGAGAAGAAUAAAGUGAAAUUUAGUUUAAAUAAUUUGUGAAAUUGUAUGUUAAAAUAUGAAUAAUAAAGAGAUUAAAGAAAGAAGUUAGUGUAUUUACCUUAUAUGUCUUUGGAUCAAGAACAUUUAACUCUUGGACAGAUAGCUUUUUAGCAGCUUCUAAAUGUUGAGGUGUCAUUAGUUGAGUGGCGGAAGAAGGCAUCAUUUUAAUGGCAUGUGUAGAGUCAUUAAAGCUGUGGUUAUUGUUAUUUUUAUAUAAUAAAAAAGAGGUGUUAAUUUAGAAAAAUGGGGAAACAAAGGUAUAUGUUAAAACAAAAAUGAUAAAAAUUCAUACAUCGUUUUGUAGGCCGCCAAUUCUUGUAUAUCUGGAUUGAUAAAAAUUAAUGUGGAGACACUACUGUUGAGAACAAUUUUCCCUACAUAUUGAUAAAUAAUAAAUUAGAUUUGUUUUUAUUUAAAAUGUAAAUAAUAGGAAAAAGUGAAAAUAAAUUGGAUACCUUGAAAUUGUUUAACUUUCAGGCUUGUAAAAGCUGCAAAUAUUGGCGAUGUCAAUUGUUGUAAAGCUUGGGAAUCAAAAGUUUUUGCAGUAUCUCCCCACAGGGUUAUUCUAACAUCUUCUUUCCUGAAUGAUUAGAUGUGGAGAAAAAAAUAUUUAGAAAGAGAUAUAAUAGUUUAAAAUUUGAAUUAUAAACAUUUUUUGAAUAUUUGUACCUGAUAUUUUCGAUGCAGACUUCACAUUUAUCCUCAAGCCUCUCAUUGCCCACAUUUUUUGUUCCAAUGGUUGUAUUCCAGUAAUGUGUCCAAAAACAUCUUGCAAUAUGAUAAAACAAAUAUCAUAAGGAUAUUAAAAUGUGGAAAUUUUUUGGAUAAAUACUUAUUGUAUAUAUAUGCAUAGUUUUUAAUACUAUAUAGAGUAUUACCUGUUAGGAUGUCAAUUUUGUCUAUGCGAGUGGACAAUUGAGUAUAAUCUACCAGAUAAAAUCGAUAUCGUGGAAUGUGUGGGUGAAUGGUUGGUAGUUCUUUGAAAGUUGUUCUCGCAUUAAAGAACAAUUGUGCAACAUGUGGUACAACUUUGUGAGAUGGUUUGUUGCGACCAGUGUGGAAAUGUGUUAUUUCAUAAAUGGAACCAGCUUUUAUUUUUGGAAAUACAAAAUCAUAGUCGAUCUCUUUGACGCUAGCUUGUAUUACAUCUGUCUACAUAAUUGAAAAAAGAGGAAGAGAAAAAUUAAUAAGGGGAAAUUAUAUUUAAAAGGAAGGAAAUACAAAUAUAUGAUAAUACAUUCAUUUAACAAAAAUAAAAAAAAUAAAAAACUAAGUAGACCAUAUAUAAUGAAUCCAUACCUAACAAAGCCCAUAGAUAAUACAGUUUACAACAAUAUUGUUCAUUAUUCAGAUCCUCUACAGAAGCAUUUUGACCGAAUUUAUACCUACUUUAUAUGGUUAUGGCCUCCUAGAAAAAUGGGUUUAGUGUCAAUAACAGGAAGAACACACACUUACACGCCAGCAUCCACCAAAAACUAAGGGAGCUUAAUAGAAACAGAUAUUAAACAAAGGGUUUCUUUAAGUGAUGUUAUUAUAAUUAAAUUGAAAUAACAUAGAAAAGAGCUUUUCUUACCUUUUGGUCAACCAGGAUACACUGAAGGCCGCCGAAUUGAUCAUUAGAUCCAAUAAGUUUUGGUCGCCACAUUCUGCAGAUACGUACUUUGAGUUUCUUGUUAAAUUGGAACGGUUGUAAAUCACGGAUAUAAGUGAAACUCAUUGUGCUUUAAAUCUGCAAAUAAAUAUAUUUUUUGUUAGCAUAAAAAUGCAUGUAUAUAUUUAUUAAAAGUCAUGAGAAAAAAUAUACAAAUAUUUAAUUAUGGAUACAUCAAAAUUGGAACUUCAUUAUAAAUUUUGAAGAACAUCUUUAUACACUAUGUUUUUAGUGUAAUUAUUUGGUACUUCUUUAUUAUUUUCUAUUAGGAUUUUAAGACCUUGUCUUGAUGUAACCCUGGAUAAUGCAACAUAAAGUUGUCCAUGAGUGAAUACAGGUUGAGAAAGAUAUAGUCCAACUUGUUUCAAUGAUUGGCCUUGACUUUUAUUUAUUGUCAUUGCAUAACAUGGUCUAAUUGGGAAUUGGCGCCUUUUAAAAAUGAAAGGCCAUUUGUUUUCAGUUGCUGUAAGGCUUAUUCGAGGUAUGAAAACUUUGUGACCAAUGUUACUACCAGCAAGUAUUUUUGCUUCUAUAAUUUUAUCAUACAAUUGUGUAAUAACUAAUCGUGUUCCAUUACACAAACCUGAAGAUUGAUUUAAGUUUCUCAAUAGCAUGAUGGGCAUUCCUAUUUUUAAAGCUAAAUAGUAUGAAGGUAAACCAUUAAAUUCAAGUUUGUUUAAAAAUUCUGUAGGAUAUAAAAUAGUAAGGUUUUCAGAAUUUUCAGAUGAUGAGCAUAAAGAAUCUGAGCUUAAAUAAAUGCGUUCUUGUCCAGGUAAUAAAUCAAUUGCAUAGUUAUUUAUUUCAGUUACAGUUGUGUUUCGAGGUGUUACAAUAGCUCGUUCUGUUAAAUAAGUAAAAUUGUUGAAAUUUCUUUCAAAAUUUGGGUAUGUUGCUAAAAAAAUGGAAUGAAUAGAAUGUGCAUAUGAAUGUAUAAGUAAAUCUUGAGGAAUUUUGAUCCAAGAUGCAUCUUUAUCAUUUGGAUCAUCUAUAUCAACAAUUUGACCAUUACCGAUGCGCAAAAUCCAUGCAGCAAAAUCAUUUAUUUUUUGUUUUUCUUCAGUGUUUAAUCCAUUUUUCGAGAGUCUCAUAUUUUCUUUUAAAUGGAAUAUUUUGAAAAAAGGCCAUAAAUAAGAGCUAUUGAGAGAGGCAUCUAUUAUUUCUUCUCUUGUUCCUCCUGGAAUAACUGGUAAUAUUUGUCUGAAAUCACCACCUAACAAUAAAGGUUUCCCACCAAAUGGAACAUUGUUAUCUAAAGGAUUUAAAUGUGAUAAAAUAUCAGAAAGUGAUUUAUCUAAUGCUUCAAAACAAUGUUUGCGAUUCAUAGGAGCUUCGUCCCAAACAAUUAAAGCGGCUUUUUCAAUUAAUUUGGCAAGAUGAGUUCCUUUUUUUAUUUGACAUGUUGAGCAAUUGUUAACAAUUAAGGGAAUUUUAAAUCUAGAGUGAGCUGUUCUACCACCAGGUAAUAAUAAUGAUGCUAUUCCUGAUGAAGCAACAGCUAAAACAAUAUUUCCUUAGGAUCGAAUUUUACUUAUUAUAGUAUGCCACAAAAAAGUUUUUCCUUUUCCUCCAUGACCGUGGACAAAAAAGAGGCCUGGCAUUUUUUCUUCAACAGUUUUUAUAACACAAUCAUAUACAUCUUUUUGACCUUUGUUAAGUUGUGUAACUAAAAUGGAGUGUUCUUUUUCUAAAUUAUUAUAAUCGUAAUUUAAUUCUUCUCUAAGCAAUUUAUUUCUAAGUUCUAACAUUCUAUAUUCAUCAGGCAUAGGAAGGUGAUGCUCCUUUAAAGAGCCGGAAGAUACAUUGAAAAGCUGUUCUAAUUCAAAUAAAAGAGAAUUUUUUAAUUCAGAUUCUGAUACAAUUAGAUUUGGCAUUCCGAAAGUUUGUCGUAAUUUGUGUAAAAUGUCCUCAGACAUAUUUUGCCAAUAAGUGUCAAAAAUAAUUUGAGGAUUUCCUACAUCACAAAAUAAAAUGAUUGUGACAAAUAAUUGCCUUAAUUGAGGACAUGUGGCUGUGUUUACAGCAUUUGCUAAGGCUUCAAUCCAUUCUUUAUCAUCUCCUAACAAACCUAGGGAUUUACAUGCAGCUUGGUAUGAUGGUUCUAUAAUACCAUUAACAGUUUUUAGGUCAUUAAAGUGAAAAGCCCCUUUUUGCAAAUUCAAAAGCAUUCUUAAAUAAUAUAAUUCACCAGAUGCAGGAUGUACAUAAGCUAUUCUACCAAGGGAUCCUUUUUUUUUUUUUCUAGGUUUCCACAUCUUAGUGAGAGAAUUCCACACAAAUUUUGGAGGGAAUUCUGCAUACGUUAAUGUUUGUGCUUCAUGAAAAGUUUUAUUAGCUUCAAACCAACUUGUUAACAUUGUAUAUUCAAUAUUUUUUCGGUUAACAAUUUAUUGAAGUGAUUGAUCACCAUUGAAAAUAAUAUUUUGUUCUAAAGGUAAAUGUAUUGGUAAUCGUUCAACUGAGGGUUUUCUAAAAUGAAUAGGAUAUUGAAACAAUCUCCAAACAGCUUCAUAUGGAGAUAUGUAUCUACAAUUUAGAUAGGCUAGUAUUUCAUCUUGUUGGUUCUCUUGGAAAACUACUCUAGCUCUAUCUGAACCUUUGUUUAUAUAUUUGAAAAGAUAUUUUAUAAGCAUUGAUUGACAACAUGAUUCAACAUUUAUAUGAGUAUUGUAUCUAUGCAGUAAUUUGGAAUUGUAAGGUACUACAAAACUAUUAUCAAUUUGUAUUCCAUUUUUUAUCACAAAUUUUGUUGGGUCGUCACGGCGUUUGUAUACAGGGUAACCAUUUGUUUCAAAAAUUGUUUCGCUUUUAUAUUGUUUGGGAAAAGAUUUAGAACAUUUUCCUUCUCGCAUACAUGGAGAAUGAGGAUUUAUUUGUCCACAUGGACCAUGGAUCAUAAAUUGAGCCACAAUAUCAUAAAGAUCAUAAUUUACAGUUUUGUUUGGUAAUUCAGCAGAAAUGAUAGAAUCUAUAUCAACUGCUGAAUAACAUUUAUAAUUUUGUUUUAACCAGAUCAACAUGUGAGCAUGUGGCAAUCCUCUUUUUUGGAAUUCGACAGUACAAACAUCUGUGUUGAUUGGGUGAAAAAAGGGAAAAAAUUCUUAGUUAGUUUUAUUAUUUAAUAAAAUGAUAAAAAUGGAGAGUAGUAUAAAUGGUGUGUUUUUAAAAUUUACCAGCUUUGAUUUCUCCAAAAGGUUCUCCUGAUUUGAUAUAAUUGAUCAUAUCAUCAAGUUUUAUUUUAAAUAAUCUUGAAACUAUAUCAGGCCGAUCUUCUGGUUUGUAUCUAGGUUUUGUAUUAAACUCUCUUACAAUUUCGGGCCAUCUAACAUUGCAGGUGAAAAUUAUAAAUAAAUCAGGAUUUCCAUAUUGUCUACAAAUUGCCAUAGCAUCUUGAUAAUUGUUAAGCAUGUAUCUAGCACUUCCAGUAUAUGAGCUAGGCAAUAUCACUCUUUGACCUAUGUUAUUAGCAUCAUUAUCACCCUUUGAAAUUGCAUCAUAAAUGCCUUUAUAAACCUCACUUCUUAAAUUUUUUUGAUUUUUCCUAAUAUAAUCUAAUCAAUCUUCUUCAAGUGUUGCAUAAGCGUCUACUAAAAAUUGUUGGAACAAUCUUCCACCUUUUAAUAAUGUAUCGAAUUGAAACACUCUUUCUUGGAUUCGAUAAGCUAUAAAAGCUCUCAUAGGAAUUCUUCUUCGUUUAGAUUCAUGGCUUGUACAAUGCCAUUUUAAGUCAGGUGUAUACUCAUCUUCACCAAAAGAAAAAAGAAGAGGAUAUUGUAAAGACAUGAAUUUUGGAUUUAAUUUUGUCACACGUUUAACUCUCCACUUUUAAAUUCUAUUAUAAUAUCUCUAUUUGAAUAAAAAAGGCCUAUAUCUCCCACUAUUAAACCACCAAUUUCAUCACAUGUUGGUUGUUCAUAUUGUUUGCUAUCAUUGGAUUGCCUGCCUAACAAUGUGAUCUUUAGAGGAGGAAGAGAACCUUUUUCAAAUUUAUCUCUAAUUGUUCGAAAAAGUUUAACCAAUUCAUUUGUUUGAUCAAACAUUUGAAUUAAACCUUCCACAAUGUUUUGAUCUAGCUUUUCAUUUUUUUGAUUACAAUUAACUGCAUCAAGCCGAUUCAUAACCUCAUUAUGGGUAUCAUAUAUAUAAAGUUGGGCAAAUUUAAGACAUUGACCCUCAGGAGGUAGUAAAGAACCCAUUAAAUGAUGAACUUGACCACUGAUUUUGAAAACAUAAGGGCUUGAUCCAUUGUUAAUUGAUUUAUCAAUUUUGGCUCCCAUUGAAGUAAAUGCAAACAUAGAAUUGUAAACCCUGAUAUUUUCUCUGAAUAAUACACUUUUUUUCCCUUUAUUAGGAUCAAGCAAAUUUUCUAAAAAACAGGGUGUUGGUUUUGGACUUUGAAGUUUAAUUUUUCCUUGUUGGCAACAAAGAGUAAAGAGAGGCUCAUUGUUUUUUGAUCUUUGUUUAAUGGAUUCUUGUAACCAAAAAAGUGCACCACAAUAAAUGCACUUAUGAUUCUUCUCUCCAAAAUCUGCACAUUCUUGGAUUAUUCCUAUAGGGGUGUAGAAUGGAGAGAAUAGAAAACAUAAAUGUAGGUUAUUAGUAAUAGAACAAUGUAGUUCAAGUUUAGUAGAAAAUUUUGAAGCAAAGGGAAACACCCACCUUGCCUAUUUCUUUGAAAGAUCGCUUGACCUUUACUCAUUUGAUUAAAACGAUGAAAUUCAAUUUCAUCUAUUGCUAUUUCAACUGUAUUCACAUUGAUAGAUAAUGUACUUUCAACACAUUUUUGUCUUUUGUUAUCAGCUUGAGAAAUGUUUUGAUCAUUGUUGAUAGGAAUUUUCUCGCUUGGAUGUUUAUCAUUAAUAUGAGAAACAUUUUUAUUUGGGACUUGUAUAUCAUUUGAAAUGAUGAGAUUAUGAGGUUCUUGCAUGAUUUGUUUUCUCGUGGUAUUUCUAGUUCUCUUCGACAUUAUCAACGAAGAUUUCAAUUUCCCAAAAACAGAUUGAUAUCUAGAAAAAAAAAACAUAUAUAUAUAAGUAAUAUUUCACAUUAUUAAUAACAUUUAAAUUCUAAGAAUGCAAAAUAAAUGUAGAAAUAUGAUGAUAGAAUUAUAUAAAUGAAAAUCUUCAAAUGAUAUAAUAUUUGCUAAUCAAUUAGUUAUAAAUGAUAUGCACAUUUUUUUUAAAAAGUUAGAAAAUACUGACCUGUAAUGAGAGAAUUUGUUAAGCACUUGUAGCAACACGUAUGCAAAAGCAAGAUGAUAGCAACAACCUAAAAUACAUAAGUAGAAGAACAGUUUUUGUUAAUAGGUUCAAAUCCAAAUAAUUAAAUUGAUAAAGCAAAAGUAUUUAAUUUUAUACAUCAAUUAAAUCUCUGUUAUUUUAUCAAACAACCAACUUCGUUUCAUAAUGAUUAAACAGUAUAUAUGUAUUAAUAUAAAGCCUUGUUAAACCGAUAUGUAUAGUUGAGACAUUUAACUGAAAAUUUAUAAUCAACCAAGCUCACCAGAUUAAUAAUUUAAAUAAAAUGCUUAAUGAGAACAUCAAGGGGAAAAUAUUUUUAAAAGGGGGAAAAUUUUAGCAUCAAAGCAUAUUCAACUUGUAUCAAUCAACAAAAUAAAGAUUACUUGUAAAUAACUUGUAUGCAAGCNNNNNNNNNNNNNNNNNNNNNNNNNNNNNNNNNNNNNNNNNNNNNNNNNNNNNNNNNNNNNNNNNNNNNNNNNNNNNNNNNNNNNNNNNNNNNNNNNNNNNNNNNNNNNNNNNNNNNNNNNNNNNNNNNNNNNNNNNNNNNNNNNNNNNNNNNNNNNNNNNNNNNNNNNNNNNNNNNNNNNNNNNNNNNNNNNNNNNNNNNNNNNNNNNNNNNNNNNNNNNNNNNNNNNNNNNNNNNNNNNNNNNNNNNNNNNUACAUAGUACGAAAUUGUUUUAUAUCACUGUAUCAUGAUUACAAAGCAACGAUACUAAUUUUUAUUCGAUCAAAAUAUAUUUGUAGAAAGACACAGCUGCAGAAGAAUAAAAAUUAAAAUAUAAUAUAACAAUUCUAGAUAUCUAUUAUUUUAUCAGACAACCAACUUCGGUUCAUAAUGAUUGAACAGUAUAUAUAUAUAUAUAUAUAUAUAUUAAUAUAAAGCCUUGUUAAAUCCAUAUGUACAAUUGAGACAUUGAACUCAAAAUUUAUAAUCAACCAAGUUCACCAGAUUAAUGAUUUAGAUAAAAUGUUCAAUGAGAACAUCAAAGGGAAAAUAUUUAAAAGAGGAGAAAAUUUUUAGCAAUAAAGCAUAUCCAACUUGUAUCAAUCAACAAAAUAAAGAUUACUUCUAAAUAACUUGUAUGCAAGCAUAAUCGAUGAAAAUAAAAUAUAAAAUCUUACAAAAUAAUUAAAAUCAAUUGACUAACAUGACUAAUAAUGCUCAAUUUUUAAAAAACAAUGAAUUAGAGGAGUUUUUAUACCUCGAAAAUGACAGCAGAAUGCAAAUGUCUAGUCCCUUGCUUUUUGGUGUAUUCAAGCUGUGAAAUAAACAAAUAAUUGAAUUAUAUUUGGAUCGAAUCACAUUUUUAGAGAAAUAUAGGUUAUCACAGGAUGAGAAAAAGAUGACAAAAUUUUCAUCACUAUAUGAAAUCCUGCUUAUAUUUUUAACACCAACAUAAAUUUAGUUUUGUGUAAACAACUUCACAAUUACAAAUAUCUAUUAUUAUAUCAAAGAAUUAACUGAAUUCUAUAACGAUCAAACAAUAUGCAUAUAUUAAUAUCAAGCCUAGUUAAACAGAUAUGCACAGUGAGCACAUUUGACUCAAAACUCAUAAUCAAUCAAGGCCACCAAGUCAAGAAAUCAAGUGAAAUGUUUCCUGAGAACCCUAAAGAAAACCAAUAGAGGUUAAGAUAAAAUCAUUGCCAAUUUCUAUUUUGUUGAAACCUGAUUGGUUUUGUUCAAGCAUUUUAUGGAAUUUUAAUGAGAGAAGAAUAAGGUAACUUUUGGCUACGACACAAACACAACUAAAAAAGAAUAGUAUAAUGAUUUAGACCCAACAAAACAAAAGUACAAUGCCGAGAUAGACCCAACAAAAGAAAAGUACAAUGUUGUCGUACUCAUCACCUCUUGACCCAUCUCUCCAGCUCACUCUAUGUUGUGUGCACAGAAACAAAACUCAAAAGUCUCUUACACGCCUCUCUCUCUCUCUCUCUCUCUCUCUCUCUCACACACACACACACACACAGGCACACAUAAACAGAGAGACCCAUGCGCUUCACUUCUCUCUAUAAAAUCUCUUUCUUUCUAAUUGGGUUUGUUGAGCUGAGGCAUGGUUGCUGGCCAAAUCUGGAAUAGCCUAUUUCAUGGUUGUCUACCAUUUGAAGGAAAUCUUCUUCUUUGGGCAGAGCCCUUCCCGUCCACCAGCUAUACCAGUGUCUAGCUCAACACACGGUGCUUUGUUUAAGGAGGUUAGUCGAUAAAACCCAUUUGAUCAGUGACAGUGGAAGAGGCUUCAAAUUAGUUGAUGGAUUUCGUUUUCAGAAAUAAAUUCUCUGCUCUUGUUUUUGUGAAAAAACUUGGUUUUUAUGCUUUGACUGAUCUGUUUAUGUCACCAAUGUUAGCUGUAAGUUUGGUUUGUGUUACCAAUUUAAUGGGCUUUGCAUCAUCUCUCACAAACUACACUCUGUUUUUCUCAUACCAGUGGUGAUAUAUUGCUUUGGUGGGAGAACAGAGAAGUCAAAAAAAUUAAUUGACAAUUGAGUAGAAAAAUUAAUUGACAAUUGAGUAAAAAAAUUAAGAAUAACAACGCUGGAAAUACCUCAGCGAAUCUGUAAGAUUUAAUCCCCUUCCUGAUAGAACCCAAGGGAGCUGGAAAGUGAGCACUUUGGAAGAGCAGAGGAAGAUGAGAAGAAUGGAAACGAAGAAGGCAAGCAAUUCGGUGGGAAAAAAGGUGGUUUUGUAAAACAGUGGAACCCUCCAGAUUUAAACAGUGAAGAACCAACAGCUCUCCCAUUUUACCCCUGUAGCUCUCCAACCAGCUAGUUGAAAUCCCACCAGACACCUCUCAGCCCUAAACAACAGCUAGUUACAUCCCAAGGAAAGAGAGGGCAAAACGGGAAAAAUACAGAACAAUCAGUCAAGGGCAAAAUGGCAAUUUUACUGUGCAAAAGGAGAGGAAAAGCUGGCUGCACAGUUUUAAAUGGAGGCAUUUUCGUAAUUUUACUGUGCUUAGCUACAGUAUUUAGUUGCAUUGGGUUUUAGUAUAUAUAGAAUUUUGUUUUUCAAUUUAUAAAAUUAGAUCCAAAUAAGAUACCAAACAUGUCAUAAGGUUUUUUUUUUUUUUUGGGAACAAAAGGAGAGUUUUUUUUUUUUUUUUUUGGCUGCUUACCAAGGUCUUAAAUAUCGAUAGUUUCGGAAAUAUCGGUGGUUCAAAAACACGGAAAUAUCGAUGGAAAUAUCGGGAAAAUAUCGAUAUCGAUAAAAAUUGGAUAAAAACCACGGAAAUUAUGAUAAAUACUUGGAAAUUUUUAAUGAAACUUUAGAAGAAGUUUAUUUAGUCAAUCAUCUAUUAUUUUGACACAAAAAAUUGGAAGAAAAUGCAUUGCAUAGUGGGUUUGUGUGAUUUAAGUUGAUUAUAUUGCGACCUGACAAACUCUGUGACUUAGAAAAUCUGAAGUAAUUAAUGAAAGAGAAUUAAACACUCCUUAGUAAUUUAUUUAUCAUUUUUUAGUACAAUAUUUUACUCUUUAUAAAUUGCAUGAUAAGAUACAUGAGUAAACUUAUUUCACGUUAUUCACUGGACAUGGUACACGUUGUUAUAUCUAUUGAAAAUUAGGCACUUUAAUAGUGAAGAUUGAAAAUUAACUAAGAACAUAAAUAAAUUUAUCCAGUGAAGAAUUAAAUAGGAAAUAAUGAAAAUGAUUAUAGAAAUUUAAGUAAUUAAGCAACAAUUUAUUUCACGUUAUUCAUUGGACAUGGUACACGUUCUUAUAUUUAUUAUUUAUCAAAAAUUGAAAAAUAAUUAAAGAUGUAAACCAAUUUGAUUUUUCAUGAAAAUUAGGCACUUUAUCAGGCUUAAAAAAUAAUAGUGAAGAUUAAAAAUUAACUAAGAACAUAAAUAAAUUUAUCCAAGGAAGAAUUAAAUAGCAAAUAAUGAAAAUGAUUAUAAAGAUUUAAGUAAUUAAGUAACAAUUUGAAGGAUAAUUUAGUAAUGUAAGUACUUAUAAUGAAUAAUAAAAUAAUCAAUAACAUUAAAUGAAUUAAAUAGAAAAAAAAAUAAAUUAUAUUAAGUAAUUAAGUCACAUUUCCCACUUCCCAAUUACUUUCACGUUUUCCUGCCUCCCUCUUCCACUUCCCAAGGUUUUUUUAACCUUUUUUUUUGUUUGAACUUCCCAAGGUUGCAGAUACAUGCAACCUGCCUUCUCUCUCUCUUUUGGGCAUUCACCCAUCUCUCCCUUUUUAUUCUUUUUAUUUAUUCUUCUUCCUCUUCCGUUUCACACUCCCACUCUCUCUCUCUCUCCCCUUCUUCUUCUAUCUCUCCGUCUCUUUCUCUUCUUCAUCUUCCCUCUUCUCUCUCCUCCAUCACAAUCCAAAACACUUAAACAUAAAGACCAACUCCACACAUUUUUUCCCUCUUCUUCCCUUCUCUCUCUCGCUCUUCUCUAUCUGCUUUUUUUUUUUUUUCUUUCUUCUUCUAUCUCUCCGUCUCUUUCCUUGCUUCCUCUUCCCUCUUCUCUAUCGCUUCAUCACAAUCCAAAAUAGCAAAACAUAAAAACCCACUCCAUAAUUUUUUUUUUCCUCUUCUUCCCUUCUCUCUCGCUCUCCUCUUUCUGCUUUUUUUUUUCCUGAGUUGAGAGACAGAGAAAGGCUGAGUUUCAGAGGCUGAGGGGUUCAUCUGAAGGCUGAGUUUAAUUUUGUAAGUUCAUAUCGCGAUAUUAUCGAUAAUAUCGCGAUAUAUUGUCCAUUUAAAGCUACAACUUGAACGAAAAUAUCGUUAUUGAAAUAUCGGCGAAAUUAUCGAGGAAAUUAUCGAUAAAUUGACGAUAUAUAUAUGGAAAUGUGCUAAAAUAUCGUAGCCCCAAAAAAACGAUAAUUUCGCCGAAAUAUCGGCGAAAUUAUCGAUAUUUUGUUCUAUGCUGCUUACAGACUACGCUUGAAAAGAAAAGUAGAAAAAAGGAAACAACCGACUAAGCAAAGAUAGAUACUUAAAGCGACACGUGUAUGACACGUAUACAAGAAGACUCCGAGCAGCGAAAGAGAUAAAUUCCCAUCUGUCCUACAAGUGUCCUCCGCCGAAAUUGAAAUCGAAAUCAUCUUCUUCUUCCUCCUUGCGUCUGUUUAUGCAACUCAACCUCUUCGUCUUCUUACCUUUCCUCGCAUUCUCAUCCUUGGCAGAAGAAUCAAAUCCCUCCCAACUCCAAAACAUGGCCACUCUCGGCGGAGUCCACGAAUCCCAUGCCUCCCAGAACAGCCUCGAAAACCAAGACCUCGCUCGCUUCGCCGUCCAAGACCAUAACAACACGGAGGUCUUUACUCUUUUUUGCCUUUUAAUUUCUUCAAUAUUAUGCUGGAAUUUUAAUUAAUUAGAUUAUUAAGCAAUUAAUUGAAAUUCUUACAGAAUGCUCUGCUUGAGUUUGCUGGAACUUGCUCGUGUGAGUCUGCAUGAAACUAUAAAUCAAUGUUACAUCUUUGUAAACAAAAAUAUAAAAGACAUGUUCAGUCAAAUUUCAUUCAGUACUAAGGAGUACCAGUAUGAUUUCAUUGAAAGUGCUGCACUAUUACUUUAAGACUUGUUUUUUUUUUUAAUAACAUUUAUAGCCCUCCUCCUGUGUUUCAAUUUGGUACAAACUGUGCCAAAGAACUGUAUUUUCUAUCCACGAGAUGGAUUCAUGCCGCCCUACGAAUUAACUGUUAAUAACAUAACUGAAUGUUGGUUGUGGCUUAAAUGGAAAACAAGAAGCAUCUGCAUGCUGCAAUUGGAUAUGAAACAAUAUUUAUCCAAGAAGAGAAGAAAUUGUGAUGUUACUUCACAGCUCGUUUUUGUAAAUCGGGACAGCUGAAAUAAUGAGGAAGCAGAAAAGUCUGUGUUGUGGAUAAAAUGUUUUGUUUCUGUCAUAUGUUUUUGCAUUCCGCCACGGUCACUUACAGGAUGAGAUGAUGUUAGAGAGUGAGUUUUAUGGCUCGUGUUUUUUUCUCUGUUUUAAAAAAUAGCCCAGGUGCUGGUUUUAAAUAUAAAUAAAAGGAAGAACUUGAAACCAUGAACAUAUAAAAAUAAAAGCUUUAUUAUCAAUUCCUCCCUAAAUUCUACUCCCAUAAUUUAUUGAGAAUGUAAUUUCAUACCAAUUUACAAAUUCUACUUCCACAAUCAUCAGCCUGCUAUAAUCACUUUUGAUAAAGCCCACCGACACAAAAAAGAUCUUGAAACCAUGAUCAUAUAAAAAUAAAAGCUUUAUUUACCAAUAUAAAAUCUUCUAACACAAUAAGUCCGCCGACACUAAAGACAAUGUGAGGAAGAACUUGAAGUGAGGAAGAACUUGAAACCAUUACCAUAUAAAAAUAAAAGCUUUAUUUACCAAUAUAAAAUCUUCUAACACAAUAAUGGAGGACAGCUGUAUGACGAGUCUAAUCGUGUGGGUUCCCCACGUUAUUACAAACGCACUUGUCUUUUUGCAAUAAUAUUCUCACUCGAAGACUCCAAGUCAAUGAUACUGAGAGCAACAGCCAAAUCCUUUGCUGCAAAACUUGCUUCAAAUCUUAACUCAAGUCCAAAUCCUUUGCAAAGAAUCGAAACAUGGCUGGAGCUUUGGUUGGAGAGGCUAUUCUCUCUGCCUCCGUGCAGGUGCUGUUUGACAAGAUUGGUUCCAGCGAGUUCGUGGACUUGUUCCGGAGAAAGAAACUGGACGAGUCGCUUGUUAAGAAACUGGAGAUAACGUUGUUGAGCCUUAAUGCGGUGCUUAAUGACGCGGAGGAGAAGCAAUUCCUGAACAGCUACGUGAAAGAGUGGCUUGAUAAGCUUCAAGAUGCUGUCUUUGAUGCGGAUGACCUUCUGGAUGAGAUCAAUGCUGAAGUUUUGCGAUGCAAGGUGGAAGCUGAAUAUCGAACCGUCAAAACUCAGGUGUGGAACUUCCUCUCUACUUCUCUUAAUCCUUUUUAUCAAGGCAUGAAUGGUAGGAUUCAAGAGUUGUUUGAUAGAUUAGAACACCUCGCAAAACAAAAGGAUUUCCUUGGGCUGAGAGAAGGUGUUGUUGGGGGGAAGGUUUCUCAAAGAACUCCAACAACUUCCUUGGUGGAUGAAUCUUGUGUGUACGGUAGGGAUGGAGAUAAAGAAAAGCUGAUGAAACUGUUGUUAUCUGAUGAUGCAAGCGACAAGGAUGUCUCCGUCAUCACCAUAGUGGGAAUGGGCGGGGUUGGCAAGACAACCCUCGCUCAGCUCCUUUAUAAUGAUGAAAAAGUGAAAGAGCAUUUUAAUCUUAGAACCUGGGCUUAUGUUUCGGAAGCUUUUGAUGUUACUAGGGUAACUAAGUCCCUACUUGAGUCAGUCAGUUCAAAAGCUUACGAUAAUAAAGACCUGAGUUUUCUUCAAGUUGAGCUAGGACAACAAAUAAAGGGCAAGAAAUUUCUGUUUGUGUUGGAUGACCUUUGGAAUGAGAACUAUGGUGAUUUGAGUCUCUUGCAACGUCCUUUUGCAUCCGGGGCAAAGGGAAGUUGGGUCAUCGUGACAACACGUAACGAAAGUGUUGCAUCUCUCGUGCGCACCAUUCCGAUUCACUUUUUGAAACAGUUGUCUAAUGAGGAUUGCUGGUUGUUACUUUCAAAACACGCCUUCGAAAAUGGAAACUCAAGUGCACAUCUAGAGCUGGAAGAAGUUGGUAAGAAAAUUGCUUCUGCGUGCAAUGGUUUACCUUUAGCAGCAGAAACCCUUGGAGGCCUCUUGCGUUUCAACACAAAUUAUGAGCAAUGGAAUAGCAUACUAAAUAGCAAUAUUUGGGAGCUGCCUCCUGAAAAAUGUAAUACAAUUCCAGCUCUAAGAUUGAGUUACCAUUAUCUCCCAACUGAUUUAAAACGAUGUUUUGCUUAUUGCUCAAUUUUUCCGAAGGGCUUUGAAUUCCGAAAGGAAGAUAUUGUUCUACUGUGGGUGGCAGAAAGUUUAAUUCCACAAGCUGAGAGUGAGAAAAGUAUGGAAGAGCUCACUAAGAAAUACUUUGAUGACUUAUUGUCACGAUCAUUUUUUCAAAGAUCAAGAAAUGAGAAGUUCACAAUGCAUGAUCUCAUCAAUGACUUGGCCAUGUCUGUGUCAAGGGAAUCCUGUUUGAGAUGGGAAGGGGGCGAAUCACAUGAAGUUUUGAAAAAAGUUCGGCAUUUGUCGUAUGCUAUAGGCCAAUUUGAUUGUGCUGCGAAAUUUGAGCCAUUAUAUCAGGUUAAGCAUUUGCGAACCUUCCUACCUCUAAGAAGCAAAGAAUGGUGGUUUGAGCAUUAUGUAAUAAGUAAAAGGGUUUUACCUGAGUUAUUGCCAAAUUUAACAUGUUUACGGGUGCUAACAUUGUCAGAAUAUGAUAAUAUUGUUGAGUUACCCAAUUCUAUUGGUAACCUCAUUCAUUUGCGCUACUUGGAUCUCUCUAAUACCGGAAUCAAAAGGUUACCUUCUAUAGUUUGCACUCUUUAUAGUCUACAAACAUUACUAUUGGCAAGUUGUCGGUCUCUUUUUGAAUUGCCUGCAGACAUGAGAAAAUUGAUUAACUUGAGGCAUCUUGAUUGUAGUGGAACUCAAAUUGAAGAGAUGCCGGUGCAAAUGGGUAGACUAAAAAGUUUGAGAACAUUGACUACUUUUGUUGUGGGGAAAUCUACUGGGUUGACUAUUGGCGAAUUGGGGGAGUUAUCCCAUCUUGGAGGAAAGCUUUCAAUUUUGAAGCUUAAUAAUGUGGUUGAUGGUAGGGAUGCAUUGCAAGCUAAUUUGAAGAACAAACAAGAUCUCAAGGAGUUAGAGUUGGCAUGGGGCUCCAAAGAUGCCGAUCAUUCCGAAAAGGUGAGAGAUGUGCUUGACAACCUCCAACCUUGCAUGAAUUUGGAGAAAUUGACCAUCAAACGUUAUGGCGGGACCAGCUUCCCAAACUGGUUGGGAGACUCUGCCCUCAAUAAAAUAAAAGUUUUGCUUCUCGAAGAUUGUCGUUAUUGUUUCGAGUUGCCACCGCUUGGACAGCUACCUUCUCUUAAGGAGCUCAACAUAUGUAGGAUGAAAUUUCUUAGGACGUUAGGUCCUGAGUUCUAUGGUCAGCCAUUUCAGCCAUUUCAAUCGCUGGAGAUGCUGGGGUUUAGGGAGAUGGCAGAGUGGGAGGAAUGGGUACCAAGUGGAAGUGAAGGUCCAAACUUUCCUCGUCUGCGGAGGUUGAUUCUAAGUUGGUGUCCAAAGCUGAUAGGAAGCUUGCCUUGUGAUCUGCCUUGCUUGAAGAAGCUUAGCGUGAAAGGGUGUGGGGUUUUACAUGAUCAAAGGGCCACUGCUACUACUAGUACUAGUACUAGUCUCAACUACAAUUGUCUUGAAGAAUUGGAAAUAGAAGAUGGAUGCCAAACAGGUCUGUUAUCAUUACUAGAGACAAAGCUCCUGUCCCGACUUUAUGUUACACGUUUUAAUGACAUACAGUGCUUGCCCAACAUCAAUCGUCUUCAAAGGUUGAGUCUCUCGAAGUGUCCAACCCUGUCGUCGUUCCCUGAAGAUGGCCUACCCACUUCGUUGACUUCACUUAACAUAUACAGUUGUAGGAGAUUAGAAUUCCUACCUCAUGAGAUGUUGGCCCAAUUAACAUCGCUUUCCUCUUUGAUUCUAGAGAAUAGCUGUGAUUCAAUGAGGUCCUUCCCCUUGGGCAUUUUUCCCAAAUUGACGACACUUGAUAUUCGCAAUUGUGAGAAUCUGGAAUCGCUUUGCUUGAUUGAAGAAGAAGGAGCGGUCGAGAAUCUCAGUCAUCUCAAUAAUUUGAGAAUCUCAAGCUGUCCAAAUCUGGAGUGUUUUCCCCAGGGAGGAUUGCCCACUCCCAACCUGACUUGUUUGGUAUUCCGGAGAUGCAAGAAGUUGAAGUCAUUACCUGAACGCAUUCACACCCUCACAGCCCUUGAAAGAUUGAGUAUAAGCGACGUUCCAAAUCUGGAGUCAAUUGCAGAGGAUGGGGGUUUGCCUCCCAACCUCCGAUAUUUUAGCAUUGAGAAUUGUGUGAGACUGAGGGCUUCAUCUUCAUCAGUGGGAGACUACUGUAACUGGGGUUUGCAAGCAGUUGAAGAAUUUACAAUUGGUGGCAGGGGAAGUGAUGAAAUCUUGGAGACGUUGCUCAAGCAACAGCUGCUCCCUACCACUCUUCACACUCUCUGGAUCUCUUCAUUAUCAACUCUGAAAUAUUUGGAUGGAAAGGGACUUGCACACCUUACUUCUCUUCAAGAACUAUUUAUUGCUGGGUGUGACAGUCUGGAAUUCCUGCCAGGAGAGGCACUUCAACACCUCACUUCUCUUCAAAAGCUAAAUAUUUGUAACUGUCCGAGUCUCCAAUUCCUGCCAGAAGAGGGUCUGCCGCCAUCUCUUUCUUAUCUGAAGAUCGUCGGCUGUUCUGCCCUGGAGAAAAGAUAUCAGAAUAAAACGGGACAAGAUUGGGCCAGCAUAUCUCACAUUCCAUACAUCAGGAUAAAUGGUGAAGUCAUCAUAUGAUGAUAUGACCUCUCUCUCUCUCUCUCUCUCUCUCACACAUUGAGGCAAACAAACUCUGGUCAUGUAUCUACGUCAAAUAACCGCUUUAACUGCUUUUCUUCUAAUUCAAUACAAAAACUGAAAUUCACUAUUCAAAUAACCGCUUUGACGUUUGUAAGAUUGUUCUUCUAUUUUGUUGUACUUUCUGAAUCAGUAGUAACAAAAACAAUUUCUUACCAGCGGUUAUUGUAUUAUCUUACAUAGUGCCAUGUACAUGCAUACCAAAUGGUUUUGUUCAACUGAAAAGAUUGACAUGGUAAAUUUAUUCAAGUAGUAUAAAAACCUACAUAUGCCAUCUUCUUUCAUUCAAUUUUCGAAAAGUGUUCAUUCAUCCCGUUCUUCUUCAAAAAUUAAUGGAGGAAGUUAUACUAGUCGCAUGGUUUGAAGAAGGCAACUUUCCUUUUCCCUGUCUCCCUGGUCCAGCUGCUACUUCAUUACCUAGUAGCUUUAUCUAUAUGAUUGUGUGGAUAUGCAUAUAAUCUCUUAUCUGCAAAUGAUUUUUUUUUUCCGUCCCACGAAUCAUUCCUUCAGCUACAAAGUUCUAUUUGAUGAGACUUGAAAUGUUGGAUGUGUACUUGCAGACUUGAGAAACUUUCCCAUGUUUGGAGGUCAAAGCAACUUGUAUAGGCAACCAUGCCCGAGGAGAGUUUACCAUUGUAUAUGGAUUUUUGUUUUUCUACAAACAAAUUGCGGCAAAGAAGGGGAAGGAAAUGUUCUCAAAGCAGAGCUCUAGAAAGAGACCAGCAUUUGGACAAUGUCGUAAACGGAUCUCAAUCUAACAUAACAAGCAUCACUUUCCAUUCAUGAUUAGGUAAUCUUUCAUCAUAAAAUUCCUUUCCCUACGUAAUAACUUGAAGACGUCAUUUAUGAGAGCUCAAGUUCUGGGACAUACGACAUUGAGGAAACUCCAUGCUUGGUCUUGAACAAUACUAUGAUUUUCCUCCGGUAGGGAAUCACAUAAGUGUUCCUUAUGCAACGAAUAUUAAUGCUGCACACUUCAUUAAUGACUUGUUUAUUUAGAAGAAACAUUUUUUAGUGAAAAAGAUAGUAACAUAAACGAGUACUCGUCCAUCACAGAACAGGAACAGAGCUGAUCUUAAGAGAAAUACAACUGUAAGAGCUUUAACAGGAACAGAGCUGCCUUCCAUCCUUGAAUUGUGAUUAAACCAAUGCUCAAGGUGAAGAUAGGAACCUCACCCUAUUCGGAAGCUCUUGUUGGCGAGUCCUUACUUAGUUAGGAUUUUGGUUCCUUAUUUUAUUAGAAUUUUGGUUACUUACCAAUCAUUAUUUAGUCCUAUUGUAGUAGAGAUUUACUUCCUAUUGUAAUUUAGAUAUAUUUCCUAUUUUAUUUAAGGUUAACAUAUCUUUGUACUCGUAUAAAUACCUCUAUAUUGGAGAAGAAUAAUAAUAUGAGUGAAUAUGAGCAUAAUUGAAUAUUUUACGCUUCUUUGUUUAGCAUGGUAUCAGAGCGGCGAUCUUGGAAUUGCUGACUCUAGUUUCAAAUCCCCGCCGCCGCUAUGAGGGUUGAUGAUUUUUUCAACCCUCAUGGAGGUAGCACCACUGACUUCUUCUCUUAUUCUCAACCAACCAUCGUUGAGUUGAGUGCCCAGAUGGCUCAGCUCCUACAGAUGCAGACUUUGACCCCGAACCCGAUCCAGAAUCAGGAUCCUCUUUUGACGACCCCGACCCCGACCCCGACUAUGACGACGACGACCCUGACCCCGACUCCGAUGAUGACCCCGACCCCGAAUUUGGCUCUAAUUCAGACCCCGAUCCCGAAUUUGACUCCGACUCCGGCCCUAACUCAGGCUCAGAUUCCGAUCCAAAUUCCUACUCAACGUGUAUUUUAUGCAUCUUCCGCUGCACAGAUUAUGACUUCUCGACUAACGACCCCGACACAUAGACCAGAUUGCGCAUAUUGUGGUGAUCCGAGACACACUUGUGAGACUUGUUUUACAUUGCCUAGCUAUCCCAAUUGGUGGGCUACUCUUACAGAUCGAGGACAAUGCAAUAUGGCCAGUAAUGAUACUGGUUAUGGAUUCCAUACUUUCAAUAAGAUUGAUUCCAGGAGCUGGAUAAUUGAUUCUGGUGCAACUGAUCAUAUGACGUUUGAUCCUGAUGAUUUUCUGAAUACUACACAACCUCGACGAACUUGUAUUGCAAAUGCCAAUGGUGUCACUUAUCCUGUGACAGGGGCUGGCACUGUUGCACUCUCAUCCUCUCUCACACUGUCUAAUACUUUACUUGUUCCAUCUUUAUCCACUAAAUUGUUGUCAGUUAGUCAACUUACUAAACAAUUGAAUUGUUGUGUACUCAUUUACCCGAGUUUUUGUUUGCUUCAGGAUAUUCACACUAAGGAGAUUCUUGGUCGUGGUACUAAGAGAGGGAGGCUAUAUUAUGUCGAUGACUUCAGUCCCGGCGUGGCUAACUGUGUGACACAUCCCUUUGAUAGCAAACAAAAGCAAAUCUGGUUGUGGCACCGUCAAUUGGGACAUCCGUCUUUUAAUUAUAUGAAGCAUCUUAUAUUUUGGCUAAGAGUCACCUUGUGCCCUACCCGUUGAGUACGAACAAGUGUACUACUCCAUUUACGUUAAUUCACUCUGAUGUCUGGGGACCUUCGCCUACCACUGCUCCUUCUGGUGUUCGAUGGUUUGUCACAUUCAUCGAUGAUUGUACACAGAUGACAUGGCUUUAUUUGCUGAAGAAUAAAAACGAAGUGUUUUCCUGUUUUCAGUCCUUCCACAAACAGAUGAAAACUCAGUUUAAUGCUCAAAUCCAGAUUCUUCGCUCAGACAAUGGUGGAGAAUUUGUCAAUCAUGACUUUCAGACUUACUUCCAACAACAUGGAAUUAUCCAUGAGACGACUUGUCCUCAGGCACCGCAACAAAAUGGUGUUGCUGAACGAAAGAGUAGACAUCUUCUUGAAACUGCUCGAGCACUUCUGAUUGGUGCUCAUGUUCCUCGCCAUCACUGGGAUGAUGCUAUUGUCACCGCAAUUCACCUGAUCAACCGCAUGCCUUCUGGUGUAUUGACCUUUAAAACUCCCUUACAGGUGCUUGCGCAACACAGAAAAUUCUCACAAACAAAUAUUCUCUCAUAGUUUUCAUAUUUUAGCAUGGUAUAAGAGCCUGGUUCCUAACCUGUGAUAACCUCUGACAAAUUGAGAGUCGUUGGCAUUCCUCAUUCCUAACCCAUCAUGGGUCUUCACCUUGCUGUAAAUCCUCGUUUCUCCUUUCCUUAAUAAUCAACAUAUAUUUCUUCUGCCUUAGCCAUAACCGCACCUUUCUGCAAUUUUACCCUUGUCUUUGUCCUUGCGGUGUUUAUUUGAGUCAUUACUGCUAAAAUAUGAAACCUAAUACGAGAAUAUUUGUUUGUGGGAAUUUUCUGUGUAUUCUUCUCCUUGUAGGAGGUCAUAUUUAUAAUACAACAAAACCUGAAUGGGCAAGUAAAUAAUAAAUUCCUAAAUCCAUUUACAGUAGGAAAUCAGGAAUUAAAGUAAAUCAAUUACAAUUAUAAUAGGAAUUCUUGGUGUGUAAGGAAAGUAAGUCAAUACCCACAAGUCACGCCAACACUCCCCUCACGUUGGUGCAUAGAUGUCGCCAAUGCUCAACUGAUCCAGUGAAUUGUGGAAUGCUUUACUGGAAAUUGCCUUUGUCAAAAUAUCCGCCAAUUGAUCAUCGGAUUUCACAAAAGGAAACUGAAACACUUUAGCCUCAAGCUUCUGUUUGAUGAAGUGUCGAUCCACCUCAACAUGUUUAGUAUGAUCAUGUUGAACCGGAUUUUGUGCAAUGGCUAUAGCAGCCUUGUUGUCACAAAAGAGAUUCAUUGUGGAUGUAGGUUUAUACCCAAGUUCAGUAAGCAGCUUUCUUAACUAAAGAAGUUCACAAAUCCCUUUAGUCAUGCCUCUGAACUCGGCUUCUGCACUGGAUAAAGCUACUACAUUCUGUUUCUUACUCCUCCAUGUCACCAAAUUACCUCCCACGAAUGUGAAGUAACCCGAUGUGGAUUUUCUAUCUGUUACAUUACCUGCCCAAUCUGCAUCUGAAUAACCAUCAAUAUUUAGAUGACCAUGCUUUGAGAACAUAAGUCCUUUUCCAGGUGCAGACUUCAAAUAUCUAAGUAUCCGAAGAACUGCAUUCAUGUGGUCUUCACUUGGAGAGUGCAUAAAUUGACUGACAACACUCACCACAUAAGCAAUGUCUGGUCGAGUAUGUGACAAAUAGAUCAAUCUUCCCACUAACCUUUGGUAUCUUUCUUUGUUAGUUGGAACUUGAUCCGGAUAUUCUCCAAGAUGAUGAUUCUGAACAAUAGGAGUGUCCGCAGGUUUGCAAUCUAGCAUUCCUAUGUCCGUCAACAAGUCCAAGACAUAUUUCCUUUGAGAGAGAAAUAUGCAUUGCUGCGAUCGAGCCACUUCAAUUCCCAAGAAAUACUUGAGUCCACCUAGAUCCUUCAUCUCAAACUCAGUAGCCAAAUAGUCUUGUAGCUGUGAUAUUUCCUGUUUAUCAUUCCCAGUAAUAAUCAUAUUAUCAACAUAGAUUAUUAAUGAUGUUACCUUCCCUUUUCGAUGUUUCAAGAAUAAAGUAUGAUCUGAGUUGCACUGUUUGAAACCAUUGUUCUUCAUUGCCAUGGUGAACCGUCCAAACCAUGCACGUGGUGACUGUUUUAAUCCAUACAAUGCUUUUCGUAACCUGCAAACUGUUCCACUCUGAGUAGUAUUACAUCCAGGAGGAAUGUCCAUGUACACCUCCUCCGUGAGUUCGCCAUGUAGAAAAGCAUUCUUUACAUCAAACUGGUGUAGUGGCCAAUCCAAAUUAGCUGCAAUGGACAAUAAGACUCUGACGGUGUUUAACUUUGCAACUGGUGCAAAAGUUUCUUCAUAGUCUAUACCAUAGGUCUGUGUGUACCCUUUUGCCACAAGUCUUGCCUUGUAUCGCUCUAUAGAUCCAUCUGCAUUAUGUUUUAUAGUGAACACCCAUCUACAUUCGAUAGUCUUUUUUUCUCGUGGUAUAGUCUCCAAUGUUCAAGUCUGAUUUUUCUCAAGAGCUUUCAUCUCCUCUUUUAUAGCUUGGACCCACUUAGGAUCUUUCAAUGCUUCAGAGACCUUGGUUCGAAUAUGGAUAGCAGACAAUUGAUGCACAAAAGCCUUGAGUGGUUCAGACAACUUCUCAGUGGAUACAUGAUUUGCAAUUGGAUACUUGGAUGUCUUGCCAAUAUCAGGUGAAUAACGGUUUGGUGGCUUCCCACGAUUUUGCCUGAAAGGUAAUUGAUAUCCAAUAGUUUUAUCCUCUAAAUGCACAAGUCUAGUAGGAGUAUUUACCUCAAAGAUAUUCUCAGGAGAUUGGUUCGUUGGUACUGUUGAAUGAGAGGGGGGGUCUUCAUCUUGUUGUUCUGAGUUAUCUGUAAGAGUAUGACUCGCAUCAAAAACAUCUUCGCAAGGGUUAGGCGAUCGAUCGUUGUUUGGCAGAGAGCAUUCGCACGUGCCAGACUCGGGACGAUCGAUUGUUAUUGUUUCUUGGCCGAGAGCAAUCUUCGUGCAUAGAUGAAUAUCCUCAUGUUCCAAGCUGCUCCAAUUGAGCUCUUCACUCGGUAUCUCCCCCUGAAGAGUAGAAUUGGAUGCUGGGUCAUAGAAGAACAUAUAUGAUUCUAGAAAGGUAACAUCCAAAGUGACAUAGGUUCGCCGGGUAGGAGGGUGAUAACAUUGGUAGCCUUUCUGAUGAGUGGCAUAACCCAAAAAAACACAACGAAGCGCACAUGGAUCAAGUUUGCUUCGUUGAUUUUUGUGGAGAUGAACGAAGGUCACACAGCCAAAAAUGCGACGGGUAAGUACCAAAACAGAGGGCAAAGGCCCGUGUUGCGCGAGCACUUGUAAUGGAGUUUUGAAGUUCAAGACCCCAGAUGGCAUGCGGUUGAUAAGGUGGACAGCAGUGACGACAGCAUCAUCCCAGUGAUGACGAGGAACAUGGCCACCAAUGAGAAGAGCACGGGCUGUUUCAAGGAGAUGACGAUUCUUCCGUUCGGCAACACCAUUUUUUUGUGGUGUCUGGGGGCAAGUUGUCUCAUGAAUAAUGCCAUGUGUCUGGAAGUAAGUCUGAAAAUCAUGAUUAACAAAUUCUCCACCGUUGUCAGAACGAAAAAUCUGGAUUCGAGCAUUGAACUGUGUUUCCAUCUGUUUGUGAAAGGAUUGGAACACGGAAAAUACUUCAUUCUUAUUUUUCAUCAAAUAAAGCCAUGUCAUCCGUGUACAAUCAUCUAUGAAUGUGACAAACCAACGAAUACCGGAAUGAGUAGAAAUAGGUGAGGGUCCCCAAACAUCAAAAUGAAUUAAAGCAAAAGGAAUAGUACUUUUAUUCAUACUUAAAGGAUAGGAUGCUCUAUGACUCUUAGCUAGAAUACAAGUGUCACAUUUAAAAUCUGAGUCCUUAAAUACAGAAAACAAUUCGGGCAAUAAGUGUCUCAUAUAACCAAAAGAUGGAUGCCCCAAACGUCGAUGCCAGAGCCAAAUUUGUCGGUGCUUGUCAUCAGACGGAUGCUUCACACUAUUGGCACGUCCCAUACUGAAGUCAUCCACAUAGUACAGCCCCCCUCUUUUAGUACCACGCCCAAUGAUCUCCUUGGUGAGAAUAUCCUGUAGUAAACAAAAAUUGGGAUAAAUUAGUGCACAACAAUUUAGUUGUUCAGUUGCCUGACUCACAGACAUUAAUUUAUUGGACAAAGAUGGAACGAGUAGAGUAUUAGAAAGGGACAGAGAAGGUGAAAGGGCAACAGUGCCGGCCCCUGUCACAGGAUAGGUAACUCCAUUUGCAUUGGCAGUACUUGUGCGGCGGGGUGUAGUGGUGUGUAAAAAAUCAUUCGGAUCAAAGGUAAUAUGAUCAGUGGCGCCAGAAUCAAUUAUCCAACCAGUAGUAUCUCGUAGAUCAGAAGUAUGAAAUGCAUAACCACAGUUACCUGAGACAUCCGGAAGCGCGGGACUAUCAGGAGGAUCUACCUGCAGGAACAAGGCUAAUGGGGGUUCGGUAGAGACAAGAGCAGCACGGCCAGAAUUACUAGCAGUUUCUCUGAACUUGCGAGCGCGGAGGUCCUCCCACCAAUCAGGAUAACCAUUUAGCUUAAAACAGGUGUCACGGGCAUGUUUGACGUUGCCACAGUGCGUGCAACCACUUCUAUCAGUCGGAGCCUUGGGACGGGAAGGUGGGAUGGUUUUAGGAAGUGGCGCACCAGCAGCAGUAGCAUAUGACUGGAUCUGAAGAUGGGCUGCAGUAGAGGAAUUAUGGGGCUGUCCGGCACGAGUAGGGGGACCUGAUCGAGGGGCACUCUUGGCCGCGAAGCCAGCACCAGUGGCUCGAUCGGAUGAACCCAUCAUCACUGCUUGUCGAACAUCUUCACGGUGAACAUAGGCAUAAGCUUGGUCAACAGUAGGGAAUGGAGUCAUGUGAAGAACAUCACUUCGGGCCUUAUCAAGACGAUCAUCAAGGCCAUCCAAAAAUAUGUAAACUCGAUCUUCCUGCAGAAUAUCAUUAUAGCGCUUGAUAUCACUUUCAUACUCCAUCAUAUUUGGACGACGAAAAUCAAUUUCUCUCCAUAAGCUUUGGAGAGUAUUGUAAUAGGUUUCAAUGGAGCCACCAGCUUGCCGCAUACGAGAGACUCGUCGUUUCAGAUCAUAAACCUGAGAAGUGUCAGUGCCAUCAUAGUAAGUUGUGGCAAUUGCAUCCCACAUUGCUUUUGCCGUUGAAAAUCGAAUGAAAUUGCCAAUCAAGCUCUGCUCCAGAGAAUUGAUAAGCCAUCCCUUCACAAUAGAGUUCUCGGUGCGCCAGCGAGGAAACGUUGGAGCAGUCGAAGGGGGUUGCGGAAGAUCGCCAUUAAUAUAUCUCAAUUUGUCUUUGUCGGAGAUAUACAACUCUACAACUUGGGACCAUAGGGCAUAGCUGGUGCCAUCCAACUUUAUGCAAAUCUGUGCAGCGAAAGCUUCAUAGGUAAUUGUCGUCGAAAUCGUUGUCUGAUUCGGGUUCAAGGUCGUCGUCUGAUUCGAGGUCGGGGUUGUCGUCUGAGUCGAGGUCGGGGUCGUCUUGGUAGGAUCCUGAUUUAGGAUCAAUUUCGAGGUCUGAGUCUGCAUCUGCAUUAGUUGAGCCACCUGGGCACUCAACUCGGCUAUGGUUGGUUGAGAAGGAGAGGAGGAAGCAGUGGUGCUACCGCCAUGAGGAUUAGAAGAGUCAUCCUCCCCUAUGGUGGCGGCUAGGGUUUAGAAACUAGAGUCAGCAAUCCCAAGAUCGCCGCUCUGAUACCAUGCUAAAAUAUGAAACCUAAUACGAGAAUAUUUGUUUGUGGGAAUUUUCUGUGUAUUCUUCUCCUUGUAGGAGGUCAUAUUUAUAAUACAACAAAAUCUGAAUGGGCAAGUAAAUAAUAAAUUCCUAAAUCCAUUUACAGUAGGAAAUCAAGAAUUAAAGUAAAUCAAUUACAAUUAUAAUAGGAAUUCUUGGUGUGUAAGGAAAGUAAGUCAAUAUCCACAAGUCACGCCAACAAUUACCUUUCUUUUUCUCU